GGCAGGCACAUAACAAUCCAUGCUGAUCAUUCACUGAUGGACUUUAGAACUAAUAAUUAAACUAUCUAGAACAAAGCAACAUAUAAGGUACUCUAUCGCCUAUAUGGUAGAAGAAACAGUUUAACCAUGAAGGCAACUUUAUUGUAACUACCCACUGAAAUUAAGAAACAGAAAAUUUCAACAAUUUUUGGAGGUGGUAAAACUAUGCUUAUCAAGGUAUAUGACAUAAAAAGCAGGAAAAGAAUAAUGUCUUUUCGUGGACAACCAGACUAGCAAACAACUGAAAACGUUCAUUUACAGAAGCAGAGAUACCUGGUCGCAGCAUACGAGUUUCGUUAUCAGAGGAUAGAACUCUCUAAGAUUAUUUCUGAAUAUCUUGCUGUUCAUAGAGCACAUACCAUUAAGCACCUGGAAGACAAAGAACCACUUGUUUACUGAAAGAGUAACAUACAGCUUUCCUCACCUUUGAACCAAUUAUAUCGCAUUUAAAUACACUGAAGUACAACAACAACAACAGCAGAAAAGAAUGUAAACUACAUAUAUCAGGCACAAAAUUAUGCUGAUAUAUACAAGAAAGCCAAAAAAGGGAAAAAAAAGGAAAAAAGAAAAAAAGGGAAAAGAAAAGCCAAAAUUCACUGUCUACUUGCCGCCAACAGAUGCAGAAAUAUAGAAGUUUUCUUCAAGCUACGUCAGUAUUCCUGUCUUUCGUCUCUUUUGGAGGCAUCACUUGAGCCAUUAGAAGAUAAAUAAACUUCGCAAUAUUUUCCUUCCAAUCAAGGAAUAAAAAGUAUUUAAAAGACAAGAACGAGGGAAAUCAGCAGUGCCAACACCAUCAGAAUCUCACAUGAUGCCUAGACAACUAAGAGCAAUUCAAAUAUACAUGGUACCAGAUACUUUAAAUUAUAUCAAGUCCACAUCUUAAGUAACAUGCAAUUUUCUAAAACUUAUCAAGCACCAUGCCCAGCAAUCUUCAGUCAAUCAAGGGUUAUAUUACAAGAACCUUCUAUUGUGAAGGAAAAAAAUUACAAACUAAUAGAGGUAAUUGCGAUCCAUAAGCCCUCUAUGCAUUUUUCUGGGAACACUUAAAAAGUCCCCAGUGAUACUGGAAGUGAAAAAAUCUUUUCUUAGGUCCUCAAUUGUCAGUUUAUGGGCAGGGACCAACUCAAGUUACUGAAUGCAAUUAAUUCAAACAUGGUCGUCCGUUAGGAAAGUUGUCAAAGUCCAGUUACCAUAGCUCAAUCUUUCUUUGACCCUAGCUGCUUAGAUCUCCCUUACAUGCUAUCUUUUCUGCUUCCUUUCUUUUCUUAUCCUCUUUAUAUAGCUAAAGGGAUUUCCUAGUCACCAUCGCAAAGAAAGAAACAACAAUGUGAAAAUCCAAAAAAUCUAAGAAAAAAACAAGAGGAGGUAAAGACAAGAAAAACCUGUUUGGUCAAGUAGAAAAAAGUUAUGGAAAACACAUGCCAUCCAUCUCUCUGUUAUCAUAUAGCAUUUCAGGGUAGCGGUGUAGAUUUCAAAAUAUACCAUCUAAUAGGCCAAGGAAGGUUUUGAGUUUAUUUUGCUAUUUGAGAUGCACAGGCAGCAAAACAGAUGCAAAAAUGCCCGGGGCACAAUACCUCAUGAACUACUAUGUAUUUUCAGGGGCCAAAUAAUGUGCUUUGAGAAUUUUAAGAAGUCAGCUUCGACAUUGUGCACCUGCAAUCACUUGUGCAUACGACACUCUUGUUUCUUCACAAACUAUAUCACACACAACUAUUCUCACCAAGUCCAAGCGACUUUAAAGAGAAGAAAAGGACAUUAUAUACCAGCUUAACCGCUGAGAUAGGAUCCAAGAAAAACUAAGUUAAAGAAGAAUAUUCCAAACCUUAACAACAAUGGGAGAACGUAGUUCUAGAACUCGGUGAAUAUCCAUGUUAGCAGUCUCCCCCAUGGUGGACUGGAAAUCAGAUGCCUCCAUAAGCACCUGUCGACAAAAAGAGACUAGCUUUUCUUCCGCUAUUCCUUGAAGUUUUUCAUCUUUAAUUUGUUCUGUUGUAGUGGCACCAGUUGUCACUAAAUGAUUAUCACCAUUCUCAUUAAUACUUUUUUUGUGUGCUUCCUCUAUAUUGCCAUUAACUUCUGCAGUUGUCUUUUGUAAAAUAUCCAAGUAUACACAAGUUCCAGCUAACUCCUGUCGAAGAAGAUUCAUAGGUGGCCUGUACAAAAUAAACCAGAAAUCAUAUCUACAAGCUCCAAGUUGAAGACAAAAAAAUGUAUAGCUAGACCUCCAGCCAACCUUUCAGCAGGAAUCUGCUGCAUCCGCAAUCUGAGGUUUGUGUAUGAAUUAUACGAUGCAGCAAACUCUAACAGAGAGAACAAAAUGUCCAUGAUACUAAUUUUCUGUGAAGUCGUUAAAUUGUUCCAGUACUUCGUCUGCAGGUUUGGAACGCAGCAACAGAAAAGCAGUUAUUUUCUUGUCUCUACCAUAAGUACCAAAAAAUGUUAAAAAAAAUGAAAAACCAUCUAUUUCUAGAUGUAAUCCCUUCCCACAUUGAUGCCUCAGUAGUCUCUGUCAUUAAGCACGUUUCAGGAAUUCUUUGAGAUUUGCAUGCCUAACAUUUGUCUCAACAAAAUGCUAGCAGAAAAAACAUAGGACUUCCAAAAAAUUGGCUGUAUAAAAAUUUAAGCAAAAUUCAUGAUGAAUUCAGUUAUAAGAAUAUAAGACACCAUUCUUUACAAAGUACCAAAUGAUGGUUUACUAGGGAGUAAAUGUUGAAACUCUAGAUAAUCUUCAAAAUCUGAAAAACACUCAAAUCAUACCUGAAUGCUGUCAAUAGCACCUAAAAGUAGCAAUUGUGUGAUGCAUUUACUCCUAAUGGUUCCAAGAAGUGAACUUUCCUCCUCAUUCUUUGCAUCAGGCUCCACAAUGUCAGACAACUAGACAUAAAAACCAUAAAAUAGCCAAGUAAGUCGAGAGGAGAUUCUAAGGACACUUCAGUUAGACAAGCACAAUGAGCAUUCAAUAUACUCUGUAAAAACCAUUGAUACAUUAAGAAUCUAUAAAUAGCGAUCUCAAAAAGCUGGAAAAAAACAUUUCUAAUACAGUUCAAAACACUAAAAGCACGUUAUAGUAGGUUUUCAAGCAGAUCUCGCAAGCAUUAUGCAUAUGUCUCAAGGACCAAGAAAAUGUUAUUUGUUCUCUUAUCACAACUUUCAUGGGCUUCUUUAAGUAUGUAAUCCUCAUAUGACGUGUAUUCUUUCGUCUCCUUGACAUUCAUAAAUAUUUCUUUUAUCUUCAUACAUGGAUGAUGAAUAACCCUGGGUGCUUUCUUUAGCUUUUGAUCUCAAUGGAGAAAAUUAGGAAAAGCAUAUCUACUAAAAUAGGAUUUCCCCAUCGACCUUUGCAGUUGACAGGAUUAAAUUAGAGUUUAGAUAUCCCAACUGACCAACAUAAAAGUACCAAUAGCUUGUGCACCACAGAUAGACUGUUACAGAGAAUCAAGGAGAAAAAACAACAGAACCAGCACAAGAACAUUGGCUGAGGAAAAUCUCCAGCACUAAAUACCUUGGAAGGAGAAGAUGGAAUAAAAACAUCUGAUGAAGGGUUUCUUGAUUUAGAGGUGAAGCUUCUGAGAAAGAGACUAUCCCUCAUAUUUCCCAUAAAUUUUUGACCAAAUGUUUGACUGCGCUGAAGGCCACCAGCAUCAAUAGAUUUCUGAGCUCCUCCAGAAGGAGACGGCACACCUGCAGAUUCUGAGCUCUUCAAGAUAUUUUCCAUGGAUUGUUCUUUCAGAAGGUAAUGAAUACUUCCUAAAUUGCUAGUAAUUCAAUCUAUCUAUAUCGUUAAAUUAUACAUCAGAGCAACAACCACACCAACAGUACAUCAAAAUAUGAAAAAGAGAGAACCUUCAGAUCCCUCAUAAUCAUCUCCAGCAUUUGUAGACACCAUUGAAUAUGUAUUUCCACUAUCACUGCCAUUCUGCUGAUGAUUAUCUAAUGGUCCAUUAUUAGCAGAAGGCGUGGUAGGUGUAUCCCCUGAGAUGACUUCUAAAUUUCUUGUCAAUGCAGUAUGAUGUCUAGAGUUCUCCAAACCCAUGUCAUUGAGCAGCUCAAGGGGUUGAGUUGUGUAUAUAGCAUCUCUAUUAAAAAUCAAACAAAGCACUGAUACUCAAACUCAAUCUUUAUUAACAAGUUAUCGGACAUUUAACUUUUGGUAAAGAAUACUUACCUAAUGCUUUUCAACAAAGUAUCCCAAUCACGGUCACUAAAUUGGUGCCCACCAACUUCAAUGAGAUGCACUAAUGCACCCAGAGAUAAUGAAACAACUGACUGAUCAGUUUUCUUGGCACAAUCCAAAAGUAAGCUUAAGAGUGGGGGCAACAUAAAGCAAACCUCCUGCAUAGAAUGAGAAGAAAAAUUGUCACAACAUGAUAAAAUUCUCCAAAUGAACUAUGCAUAACAUGGUUCCAGGACAUUAUCAGAAGACCGUUACGAGUGGCAACCAAGAACAUCAUAUGAAUGGUAAUAUAGAUAAUAUAAGAGCAACCCUGUGACAUGCAAGUUCCUGUAAGGUCUCAUAAUUGCAAGUAUGUAGUAGUGAGGAGAUAAAAAUUGGUAUUCCUCCAACUGCACUAGGCCACUAUAUAGUUGCGUGAGGAAGGAAUACUGGAGUUCCUCCACGAGAUAUCCAAGGAAGUACACCAGUACCUUGUAGAAAGUGUUGAAGAGGUUGCACAGCAACUGGAGUGAAUGAAUACUACUUUCCCGAAACCAUUCAUCACCAGCAGAAACGGAGUUUUCUUUACCAGCUUGUCUGACAUGAUCAAAAAUGGGGAACAGGACCCGAUGGAAAAUAUUCUCCCAAAAUGAAGAUGUGAACUUGCUACCUCUCUCAUUCAGCAAAUCAAACAAAACUUCAAGUGCACAGUUUCUGACCUCUGGUCUGGGAUCAGAGGUCAGGUCAGAUAGACCGGCCAACAUUGGGAACCAAUAAUGCUCAGUCACAUCAUAAGUUGUCUCUGCAUUAAUGUCAAUAGGUUUCAAAGCACCACCUGGUAUUAGACCCUGAAAGUGAUCAACAAGAUAAAUAAUGUAAUUAGGAUCAGUAUGCCUUUUCUUGAACCAUUAUAGUGUACAAAUUUCAGUUAACAGAAGUGAUACUAGUUUCACAUCAAUCAAGAAUCAAUGACUAACGCUUAUUAUAGAGUUUGCCAAAUAAUUCAGAACCACCUCAAAGAAUAGUUUGACUAUGAUGUCAUGAAUAUCUUCCGGUCAGAUUAUGUACUCCAGCCUCGGAUGCGCAUAAAUAGAUGACAAAAACAUCAGAAAGAGAUUUUGUUUAAACUUAUUUUUGGUUUUGUUCAUAUUUUGCAAAUGGUGUUGUCUGUUAAUUCAUUAAUUCCCACAUACCCAGCAGAAUAAUGAAAUUCAGCAAGACUGAAUUUAGAAACUUAUCUUAGGAGUGCUUGUUUCCCAACAAUCCAACAUUUUGCCCCAUUUAAAGUAUCUUGCUACAUUCCCCUUUUUUCUUAAUGAUUCAAAGCAUAAAUCCCAUCAGUACCCCUUUAACUUAUGCAGGGAUCUGUUGAUAGCAAAAAACCCAUUAAAGUCUCAAAAUCAAUUAGGUAGGCAGAUAAAAUCUAGAUGAUUUGACUUAGUUUCUAAUCCGUAAACUUUUGUGCUAAAUUGGUUAGUAUUUUUCCUUCUGCAGAGACUAAAAUUACAUUCAUACACAAUUAAUUAAUUAUAACCAUCCACACAAUUCAUGCCGGAUGCCUCUAAAACUUCCCUCCACAACUCUAAUUUUGAAGUCAGUUUUGGAUUUAUUCUGUAAAUUACAGCGGUAUAGCUUGCAAUUAAAAGAAAAUGAACUGUGCAAACCAUAUUUGUUUCCUCACUUCUCGUUGACCCUGACUUUCCCUCAAUAUAUUAUGACACUAACUUGAUACUCAUUAACAAAUAUUUGAUCAAAGUCGUAUGAGCAUAACUUGUCAAGUCAAGGUAUUCAGCUGUUAUUCAGAGUAUUUUCCAGAACCCUAGGCACCAACUGCGUGCUGGUCGAUUCAAAAAUUUAUUAAACUUGUAGAUUCACAGUCUUUAUGUCCUUUUCCUCACAAUGCAUAUCCUUAAGAUGAACCUUAAAUGUUUACUAGAAUACAGAUAAAGCAAUGAAAUUAACAAAGGUAUUGUAGUCUACAAGCAAAUCAUGGUGAAAUUCAACAUUUCUACAAACCUCUGCAAGACGAUCCUCACAUAUGCGAAGAAGUGCAAUAGCUUUCAAACUUAUUCGGUGAGAAGUCUUAUUGUUAGCAAACCCAAUUAGGCAGUUGACACAAUCCAUAAAGCAGUCCCCCACAACCUGGUCAAAGUGUUCCAAAACAACUGCACAAGAUUUUUCACUGUUAGUAAUCAUAGAAAGAAACUAUCAAAAACUCAAAAAUCACAGAUACCACUAUUAAGGUUGAAACGAAUGAAAAAGAAAGUUCUAACCCUGUUCUACAUUCUCAAAUGCACUUUCAACAAUUAAUUCCAGAUCAUCAUCUGCUGCUGCUGUGAAAAUCAUGAACACACUUCGCCAGCCAGACUUUAUGCUUCCAACUUUAGAUUUUAUCAUCUGCUUUCCAGAACAGAAUCAGUUCAAUGCCAAGACAGGUAAGGAGACCAAAAACAACAUCAAGAAGAAAACAUACUUGCACAAUACAAUCAACAAUAAGCCUGCGUAUAGAGUCACUUCGGCUGUUUCGCAUGAGAAUUACAAAUGGUUUUAAGAUAUCAUUCUGGAAUGUGAAAUUGGCAAGUUCAGCACGCUCCAAAUAUUUCAUACCAAGUUGCCGUAGAGAAUCUAUAGCGUACAUAGCAACUCUUUCAUCAGGAUGGCUACCAGCAUAGAUAAAAUGACUGGCCAAGACAGACCAUAUUCUAGCCCAUACCUAACAGAGAUUGUAAUCCAUUAGCAACUGAAAAAGUGCUUUAAUGUGAGUCAAAGAUAGAAUGAUUGACACAGAAACAUUAUUAGUCAAGACAGACAGUAAAUCCUUUUAUAAUAAAAACACAAAUGUUGACAUUGAGCGUCAUAUUUCCAUCACUCAAGCAAUGAGUUGUUCCUGGAUAGAUGCAAAUCACAUCAAACUUCCAAGGCAAAUUUAGCCAUUUGAUAUCAGUGUGCAUGAAAAGACAUCAAGCAGAUAACAGACAAAGAAGUAAGCAAGUGAAGUUAUGCAAAUGAACCAUGCUUAUAUGAAAUUAAACAAAAAACAAGUUCCGAUAACCUACUUGCAGCCUCAAAAAGUGAUUAGAACACAUUGUUAUCAUAUGUAUCACAAAUGACAUUCAUCUCAAGCAUUAGGCUUCAAAGGAACAAGCUCCAUAUAACCCAAGUUACCUAGAGUUUACAUAUAGAAAAUUCCAUAGGAUUUUAAUCCAAAAAAAUGUUGAGCCUUGUUAAAAAAUUUUGAACACUUGGUGUAAACUAAAAGGUGUUGAAAGUGCUAGUCAUAUUUCAUUGAUUAACAUGCCUAAACACAUAACAUGUCUAAACACCUUACUUACAAGUGAAAGAUACCACCCUUGAAAACGAAAGUAAAAGCCAAAGCAUACUCAGUUACCAUGCGUAUACGAGCCAUAUUGUAAUAACUGAUCUCAACUAGCUUCUGCAAGCUAAAAACACGGGCAGGAAUCUGUCUCAAUUCCUCAGCUGAUACACUGCAUAGACCAGUAAAAAACUCCACAACAGAUUCACUGGGUAAUUUAACGCUAUUGACAAACACUUGUUCUGCAGGUUUUCCAACCAACUCUCUCAGAGAUUGCAAAAUAGCAUCCCUAGAAAUCUGGUUUGACCCUUGCAUGACAGUUGCAGCAGCUGUUGGGUUUGAUGUUAAAUAGUCAAGCCGAGAGAUGCACUCCAAUACUGCUAGCCAAGAUUCCUGAAGGGCAUUAGUGUCCGUAUCGCAUAGAGUAAUUAGAGUCCGCAAUGCUUCAACAUUUUUGCUUCUCAUUUCUUUUGGCGCAUGCAAGAAGUUAAAUCUGCAUAUUAGAAUAAUAACUAUCAAGAAAAAGAUAGAUGAGCAAAAUUUUAUUAAGAAAUUUUUGCCUAAUUGUCCCAAAUUUUGUUUAUCAUGCUACCCAGAUAAAAGGACCAAAGAACGAUAAUAACAAGGAUGUCAAAACAAAAUUCUCAACACCCUCAAAUCAACAAUAGUUCUUAGGCAAAACAUAAAAAGGAAAAUGAUGAUGCAGAGCCAAAACAAGACUGACAAAAAUGAAAAAUAGAAUUUACCUGAUCAAAGAUGUUAAAAAUGCAUAGCGCAUGGUAUCCAUUCCAAGAACAUGUGUGAUGUGUAUCCCAGCUUUAAAACCUUCCAUACAAAGAACAACCCUUGGUUUAUUAUCUCCUUCUUCCAUCGUAACAGCAAAUGUGGCAAGUAAUGGCCAUCCUACAGCUUCUACCAUAGGACGCACAAGUUCAAUCUGGUGUGAAGUAUAAAAUGCUCCUCUUUUUCUCCCUUGACUCCUAAAAAAGGCCUGUGUCUGCUUGACAAUGGCUUCACUUUCAGACUGUGAAUCACCUGAAGAUUUCCCCUUGGGAAGAGCCAGAUUAAGGAUACUGACAAUCCGCCCUCUCUCCUCUGCUUCUGGCUUUUGCUUGCUGCUUUUUGCGAUUCCAACAGGUUCAUCUUUCAUUUUUAUCUCUUCUUUAACAAUUGAAUCAUAGAUUUCCUCCAAGAGUUCUGUAGGAGCUGAUUCUUCAGCAUCAUGUAACGCAUUCAUACGUAAAAAGUCACUCUUCGACAUCUUUGGCCACACCAGUGAAUUAUGAGCAUCAGUAUUCAACAUUAUAACUGCAUAUGCAAGAACAUAAGCUGUAUCUGCAUUCUUAAACAGGCCAGGAUUGUCCGCACAAUAACUGUCAAAAGUCAAAAUUGAUCAAUCAUUGGCACUAUUAUUGCCAAAAAUGAAAAAAAAAAAAUCACAAGCAAUAAGGUCUUAUUAUCUGCUUAUAUUUUUCCAACUAAAUAGCAAAAUAUAUAUAUAUACUUAUUUAUUGCGCUGUAAAUUAAAGUUUGGGACAAUAAGAAUGUCCCUUUAACUCAAUGACUAAGCCUGUCAAUAAAGUUUGAAAAAAAGGUUCCAAUCACGCAUACUCUCUAUAUUCUAGGAUUUCCACCAUGCAAGGUCUCAUUAUAAUGUGUGUGUGCAUGUGUGUGUGUGUGUGAGAGAGAGAGAGAGAGGGAGAUAUCCAAGAUCCAAAUGCCGAAAUGCAAGAUAUUCAGGUGAAAAUGCUAUACUGGUCAUUAAAAAAGGGGAACAACCUAGUUUAAGUAUAAAAUGAAGCAAUUACUCAUAAAAAGCAAUAAAAACAUGAAAAUUCCUCACGCAAAUUACUGAGAAUCAAAGACACUACUAGGAUGGGUGGACACGAUGAAAGUGUGCAUACAUAUCAGACUCUAAUUUGACCAGGUAAGCUAAAACUUAAUUCUCUUCAUUUUGAGGAAGUUCAGCAUUUCUCAAAAAAGGUGGAGCAUGAACCUCAAGCGUAAUCAAAAAAUUCCAUUCUAUUGACCACUGAAUGCGUUUGUCAUUGUACAAGAAUAUCAUGGAUCUCUGCUCAAACAUAUUAACUCUGUUCAUUGAGCAUAAGCAAAAUAGAACAUUUUUUUAAAGCAAAACAGAACAUGCUUCAAGGCAAGUCUGUAAAUCAAAUGGCAUUUUCAUACAUACAGAAUUGUACAACACCCACAUGUCAGUCUACUUUGUGGGCACAUCUAUGAGAUGUGCAUGCCUUUUUUCCUUUUCAUACAUACAGAAUUGUACAAUACCCACAUGUCAGUCUACUUUGUGGGCACAUCUAUGAGAUGUGCAUGCCUCUUUUCCUUCUUUUUUUUACUUUCCUUGUUUGAAAACCGAAUGCUUAUGUAGUGACUUGGAUUUCCUCAACAGUUUCUAUCUGAUCUUCAAUUCUAUCCACUAUACUCCAGAGACAGUAUUUACAAAGCAAAGAAUUAUAUUAAAAUCCGAUUCGUCAACUGGACCUUCUGCCUUUCAUGAAAUAAAUACAGCAAGACAUGAUCAACCAAACCCACAAAUACAGAACAAGUGCACAUCGAGAGAGAACUUUUCAAUGUUUUCAGGAUUACUGCACUAUGAGGCUUUAAAAGAAAUAUCGUUUAGUAUUGUACGAGUCUUUUACUUGUAUGAGCUUAAAUUUUCUUUCUGCACUCAGGUCCAUAGUUUUGCUAUUUUCAAAAAUUUGGAUUACCACAAAAGCAUUUAAGCAGUAGGGUAGCAAGAAGGCAAUUACCGCUCCGCAAACUUUUCCAUUAUGCGAUCUAUCUUCUGAGCCUCUCCUGGAAGUCGGAAUCCUCGAAGAAAUUCACGAAUUGCUGCAUCAAACUUCAUCCCAGAGAAGUUCAUGGAAUCAACAUAAGCAUGCAUGACAGCAAGUGGAAACUCCUCAUGCUGACCUAUAUAAUCUCCAAUCUUAACCUAAACAAACAAGACAUUUGAGUCUCUGCAAACAGAAACUGAAUUGUAUGCUGGAAAGAUAAGAACCAAAAAGGAAAGAGAUAACAAUCACAAACAAUUAUCCGUUACCUUGUCCAAAUUGGCAGUGUUCCUAAGAAACUGAGCAACUGAUGCUGGCGUACUCUCCACUAAUCCACUUGAUAUUAGAAAUUCUAUACCCUUCUCUUGUUUCCGGUUGAACUGUAAUAUUACACCAAAACCGUCAUGGAACACAGCCCAAGUAUGCACCAAUCAUAAUAAAUAUUUGGUCAGAUCAAGAGGUGUAUACCUCAGCAACAGCAGCUUCCAGUGUAGAUUUGUGAGCCUUUAAUUUCUCAAAAUUACUAGCUUGAUCUUCCCGGCCUUUUGAGUCAUCAGAUUCCUUAGCUGAAUUCUCUACUUCAGAAGAUUCUUUCAGCUUUCCUGAUUCUCGCUGGGCCUUCUCCCAAUUAACCAAAGAUUUUAUAACAUUCACAAGACACUGAAAAAUACAUGAAACAGAUGUCAAACACACUUGUAACAGAAAUUCAACAGAAAAAGAAAUGAUUGUUUCAAAUUGUAACCAGAUGAACAUGCUAAACAAUAGUCCAAAGUUUAUACCUGAAGAGAUGAUGUUUUAAUUGAUCCCAUCUGGGAUGCAGUAAUGGAGUUUGGAUCCAUAUUUUGAGUUCCUUGGGCUAUUCUGGAUAACGUUGUAGCCUAUACCAGAAAGAGCAAAAGUGGAGAAUUUGUUAAAUGUGUACCAAGAAACUUAAUUUGGAAAGUUAGUCAAACCAAAUGUUGAACAAGAACCAACCAUCCGUUCAAAUAAAUUAGGUGCUUCAAGAUCACAAUCAUAAUUCACAAAGAGAUCAACCAACAUCUGAGAAUCCUUGCAGACUUUCUCUAGCAUCCUGAAAGAUCAAAUUCAUUCAAAGUCAUGAAACAUGAAGAAUUAACACAUAAAAUGCAAGCUCACCAAAGACGUGCAGGCAUCGAGUUUUGAUAUGUCAAACAGCUAAUUUUUUAGUCCGAUGAAUCGCAAUAUUUGGCAAAUAUACAAUGCAAUGGAGAAAAUAUGAGAGAAAGUUAGGACUAAAAAAAGUUAAGGAAAACUAUUAUAUCCAAAUAUCAGCACUAUCUUCUGAAAUACAUAUCAUACCGAAGAACACUUUGUUUUUGGUUCAGGUCUGAACCAUCCAAGGGUCUUAAGACGAUCAAUGGAAAGAAAACACCAAUUUCCCCCUGGAAAAUUAUGAUAGCAUUAGCAUCAGAGAAAAAGAUGAAAAAAAAAUACUUGCAAUUUUCAAGUGGGUGAGAUGGGUAUCUUGUCAUUUUCAUACUUUGAGACUUUCCCUGAACCGCGACAAGAGCACUGAGAAAAUCCCUGUUGCAUACUAUACAAAAAAUAGGAGGUCGAUUUAGUAUUAACUCUGCAUAACAUUGGUGACCUGAUGUAAAGACUACAUAGAACAAGACGAUUCCAACUAGACCUGAAAUAUGGAUGUAGUUCGAGAAACUGAAGCUCGCAACAAUGCAUAUGAAAGGUAAGCUUUGACCGAGUCAAUGAAAUGAAAGUUUUUUGUGAAGGAGACACUAACACCUUCCAGAAGACCCUGCAAAUUCAUAACAUGAAUACCAUAAGAGUAGCAUGACCAAGAACUAAACAAUAGCAAUUAACAGUUAACAUCAGACUUGCAUACUGCCUAUUCAAACUGCUGAACCAAAAAAGACACAAGCGAUAACCAGCCCACAACCAUAACAAAUAAGGCAUUCUCAGGAGAAUACAGGAACAAUACAAAUGAUAUUGACGAGCAAAAGGUGCCAUCUGGAAAAGCAAGGAUAUCACUUCCGGAGCUGUAUAUAUUAUUGAGAUUUUUCUGUUCCAAACAUCUUGUAAUUUUAGGCAAUCCCAUACAUAAAAAUUGCAAACAACCAGAAUGGAGUAUGGCUAUAACAAUAUAAAUGCGAAAAGACCUGUUAAGACUCCAUAAUCAAUUUAACCAAGAAAAAAGGCACAGCAAAAGGCAACUUCUGUGAGGCUUAAGAUAUUCUCUUAAAAGCUUUAACAGCGCCAGAGCAAAUAGCAACUAACUUCUGACUAAAACAAGCAACUCUUUGAGGGAGAAAGAAAGGGGAGGAACAUGAGAAGAGAAUGAGGCAAUGAAAUGGAGGCCAACCUCUUUGAGGGAGGAAAAGGAAGUGAAAAUUGUAGGAGUACCUUAUACCGAAGAAGAUAAUCCCUAGUAUUGCCAAACAAUCUUAGAUGAAUUGAAAUUCACAAACAUGGUAAAAGUUGACAAUCCACAAUUGCAACAUUCAGAAUGACAGCCAAAAACGUAAGAAAAGAAAUCAUAGUUUCUUCCUCUUGAUUGGAUGGCCAACAAAAGCAAAAGUGUCUCCGCUAUCCUUUCCUAUGUCCUAUAACAUACUCUUCUAGCUAGAACCCAUGAAGAAGCCAAAUAUCUAAAAGCCUCAAAAGCAGCAAUCCAGAACAAAUUUAGCUUCAGUAAGACUCAAGCAUGACUGAAUUGAAUUGCAUUAAAAGUCUAACUUAAACUCGGCUUGGCCCUGUAUAACAUGUGCAGAGAAAGAAGGAUGUUAGAUCCCUCCAAAACUCAAAAAACUAUUUAAAAAACUAUUUACAUAUUAUUUCUAAAAUACCACAUUUGCCCCCAAAAGGUUGAUAAUCCAAAACUCUACAAUGCCAAGUGGAUCACAAACUAAAAAGAUACAAAUGCCUCACGAAAUCUUCUCCUUUUAUUUGUUUUCACCCUGAAGAGGAAACAAAAAAGAAAAGCAACCAAUUCAUUUCUUUUCUUUCCUUAUCCCCCCAAACAAAAAACGCAAUCUCUUCUCUUUCUUUUUCCUUUCCAAAAUUAUUUCUAUCCUUUACCUUUUCCCCCUAAACUCAGAAACUAGGGCUUGCCUUGCUAUAAGACUAGCCUGCUAAGAUACAGGAGUCUAACUAGCUCAAGUAACUAAAGGAUUUCUAUAUAAGAUUACUAAAGUUGCACAUUGGACCGAUAUAUACUAGUUUUUAACUCCCUAAUUCAACCUGCAGAAGCUCCAGAGACAGGAUGCGGGUUUUGGUAGUAACUUCAUCAUUGUCUUCCUUCAUACCCAUCUGCAAACACAUAGCACAAAAAAUCAAAGACAUUGCAAUUAAAAAAUUAGAGACCACUACAAGGAAGAACCUAACCAUACAAACCUUGCAGAGGGUGCGAAAAAGGAGUAAAGCAUCAUGUUCUCCAAUGCUCACGCCUUCUAGGUCAAUUCCUCUAAAGGAAAAAAAGUUUGAAUCAGUUGUAUAUAUUCAAAGAUUAUUACAUUAAUAAUCUAUGUUAUUAGUUAACAUUUUCAGAUUCAAAGAAUUACAACAUUAGUAUGUGUCCAUACUUUGUCGCCUUUUCACCAUCUUCUAGAUGUACAGCCUUUUCAAGAGCCGCCUCUAAACCCUAUGGAGCAUAUAUCACAUAGGCAAGCUCAUCAGAUAGAAUUCCAAAAACAUAUAGCCAAAUUUAGAACAAAAAUCCUGCACAAGAAUGAGGUCAAAGUGUCCUAGGUUUCAAUUGUAGACUAAGUGCUAAACUACAAAGACUGACAGACCUUGAUAUCAGCACCACCCGCAAGAUUCUGAAGUUCCUCAAGAGAUGCAACAGAUGUAUCUUUUUCUUGGUUGAUAGAAAUUGCAUCACCCAAAGUUGAUUCUCUAUCAUUCUGAUCACUUGAUGAUUCUGGCUCAUUUCCUAAGUUUGAUUCACUUUUUGCAACAGCUUCUUUAUGUGCAACAGAAACAGAUGAAGUAGGCACCUGAAUUGGCAGAGGUACAAAAAGAUUCUCAUAUGCACGUCCCAACUUAACCAAAUGAGGAGGAAAUUUUCUUUAAGAGAAGGAACAUUCAAAAUGAAAAACCUGAUCAUUCUCCAUCCGUCUGAAUACAAUACUGAGCAUCUGAGUUAACAUAGCUUUCGCAGUUGCUUGAUUUAUUGGACUCUUGCUAAACAACAUAUUACGAAGUCAGGAGAAUAGUAUAGUGAUGAAUAAUGUCAACUAAGAAAACAUUUCACUAAUUACCUAUUAAGGGCAAUGUUAUAGCACACUCUGAUCACACCAAGCAACAAUUCUCCAUGAACUGCAUGAUGAAAAAAAAAAGUCAUAAAUAGGACAUCUCAUGCAUCAAGGAACUCCAGAGAAGCAUCAUACUAGUGAUUCAUCAAGAAUAAUUACAGAAGCAGCCCAGUCAUUAAAUUCUACAAUAUUCUUUGGUCACAUGGGCUUAGAAAAUAAAAUCGCCUCGGAAAAGAUAAUGACAUAAUAUUGAGCACAUAUUCACCUUCGAUUCAAUUGUCACUUAAUCAUCUCCAUUAAUUUUCUUACAUGCAUGAUUCCUCAUACUAUAGGACGAACAAUUCAACUAUGUAAAUUAAGUCUCAUGACUUCUUUAUCUGUAAAAUGCAGGAGACAAAAUAACUGCACGUGAACUUCAUUUGAGUUUUACUAGAAGAAACAAGGUGCAACAACUAUUUUUCUACACCAACAGGAGAAAUAUUUUUGUAGCUCUGCAUAUUGCCACAGGUAAAUCUAUUCACACAUGGAGUGCGGAGAAACCAAACAAUAGCAGCCAAGAAGCGGAUCACUGAAGUAACAAUGCAAACAAUAAUGUCAAUAUGGGUUCUAAUGUGGAGAGUUGUCUUUCCCAUUUUUGUCAUUUGGUGGAUAUUCAACCAUGACCCACAAAAAGCAUAUUGGUUAUACAAGUAAAAUGAGCAAACAACAAAAUGUCUGUAAUUCUAUACCUCUGAACUUGGCCGAUGCAACAGCUGUAAGAAGCACCUUCAACACUUGAAGAGUAGUACUGAAUGCCAAUAUGUCAGAAACCGCACCCAGAAAAACCAAAAUUUAUAGAGAAACAGAAAUCAAUUUCAACUGCAGGGUGGCACAUACCUAUCAGGAGAUGAAUUAUCCACACAACUGCAUACCAUGUUCAGGAUAUCUGUAAAUAGUGGUCCAUUUAUGCCACCAUCCAGACCAGGAUCACCCUCUAAAUGGUCAUAUGCAAUAAGUUUCUGCACUUAGAAAAUUUGUGCUUGGAAAAGUUAACAAUGAAUCUUAUUUCAUCAGUCUCAAUGGAAAGCACUACACCCAUGUAUCAAAAGUACCAUGACAACCCUGAGAAACCGAAAAAAUGGCUAAAAGUCACAUUUUGUAUUAGCUUGCACACCCAAAGUUAGACACCAAGCCUUUUAUCCAAACAACCAUUUUCAUCUUCACAAAAGCAAUAGUUUCAAUGAAGAAACUACCUCUCUAACCUUAACUUUGUGGGGAAAGAACAUUCAGAUCUCCUUUCCACUUUGCUUUCAAUAAUUUUUGUACGUGAUAAAUUAGCUUAGUAAACAACCAAGUUCUAUGAGCUGUUUCGCUGAUGUUUUGACAACAAAGUCUCAGAAUAAUGUGUUUCACAUGACGUUAGAUAUUGCUGUGGAAAACAUCCAGUGCGCAUCAAAAUAGUCUAGAUUGUUGUUCAUCCCCUGCAGCCACUCUUCAAAUUAACAAAAGAUCUUUGUAUAUCAGGUUCCCCUCCCAAAACUAAAUUAUGGUACCAGAAUUAGAUGUGCUAUCAGUAAUUUUCUCUCAAAAUUAUAAAUUCAGGAUUUAACGUGAUAAUUUCUGCUCAAGAGAAGAUUUUAUGACUUCAGAUUCUGCAAAAGAACUUAAACUACAUAAAAAAUUGAACUUUAGAAUUUUGAAUCAUCCAAAAAUUAACUCAAACUGGUAGAACAGUACUGGUUAAGAGAGCCUCGAUCAAGCAUAAAAUAAAUUGUCAUAUCAUCCAUGAUACUUUCAGACUUGAUCACGCUUAGCCAAAGGCAUAAUAUAUGAAAUAGCAGAUCAAAUCAGAACAUAAUUCGAAAAAUUAGAAAACAACCACAGUCAAUUAUGUACAUGAGCACAGUUGAUAUAGCAUGUGAUAUUUUGCAACUAACCUCAUAGUAUAUUGCCAGAUCAACUUUUUUCUACUACCAUUUCAAGGUGAAUUUUACACAUUGGGGAGUUGCAAUCCAUGCGCACAAGGAAAUUAGUUUAUUUUUUUCCUUGUAUUGUUGUAAAAAAAUCACCCAAAACAAGAUUAAAAACAUUGCCAUACUGUACAAAAAGAGAAGAUAACAAGUAUAGGAUAAUAGAUGCAAUAAAGACAGAUACUUUCCAGUAAAACACAAGUUUUCAGUGUUAAAGACAAAAAAUAACAAGAGGCACCCACAUGAAGACAAUCCAAUGCAAGCUCUACCACUUUAGCAUUCUUAGUCUCAAAUGCAAGUCGUAGUGGAUUCAAAACAAGCUCCGCGUCAUCUCCUCCUAAAGUAUUCCCAGCAUUUGCUAAGGUAACUGUGAUAGUUCCACCAGCACUUUUAGGUCUCCCUAUGGGAUCUGCUGCCACACUAGACUGUGAAGGUGUUGUUGAAUCAUCUGGUUCCGUAGUAUCUUUAGCAGAUCCAGCUUGAGUAUCAGUCAAACUACUGGAAGAAGGAUUAAAAGAAAUUCAAAUAACUAAAGAUAUUACAAUAGAUUUGAUGCAUUUAGGAAGCUCAUACUACCCAUCAAAUCACAAAAAGCUGUUGCAAUAAAUAUAAGAACAUGAUCCAAGUACUAAUCAAGCUCCAAGGGUAUACGGCAUUUUUAAAAAAUAAGUACCACAAAAGAUGAGCGGUAAUUGGCCAAAUGAACCAAUAAAACAUAAAACUAAAUGUUGGAGCAAAUUUGCAGAAGAGAGCAGAUAGAAAGCAACUAUCAGUAGGUAACCAACCUCUCAUCUCCAAGGGAAGAUGCUGUUUGCAUAGUAGCACUGGAACUCGAUUGCUGAUUGGAGUGCUUUGCAUUUUCUGAAAUUCAUAAUCCACAAGAGAUACAGGAACCAUUAAUCAGCAAUAAUACUUUAUAGUAGCUGGUGAAAGUAGAAGAGUGUAACUAAUAAAUACACUUCUAAUUGGGUUAACAAAAAAGACACAAAGGGAAACAUCUCCUGUGGCCAUUCUGUAGUGCAAAUGCCUCAAAAUAAAAGUGGAGGCAACACCAUCAGUAAACUUUAAACAUAUCCAUAUAAAGCAUUUUUUAACCAGAACCCUAGGCAGCACUUUCUUUUAGAAGCCUACAAAAGGAUUGUCUAUCCCGCCAACCACAUUGCCCAACAAAAACCAAAGAAAAUAACAAAAAUCCUUGGUAUUCUAUCAAACCAAGAGUUCCAGAAAAUUUCAGGAAAAAGAAAAGAAAAAUGAGCAAAGAAAUUGUUACAGUUUUAUAGAUAACAUUAAUAAACUUGUCAAUUCAUAAGAAUGAGAGGCUUAGAUGGAAGAUUGAAGAUAAGAAAAGAAAAAAUUUAUUCCAUCAACUAUCUGAGAAAUUAAUAGAACAAAGGAAACAGACCAUGCGGGACAAGUAUAGUAGGUUACACAAAAUAAUUAAUCACAAAAAUUGGCUUACACUUAUUUGCAUGUAUCGAAUUAACUCUUUCAUUCCAACAGUCUGGUAGACCUGAAGAUCAACCAUAAUAUCAAGAAAACAGGGGCCCUUGCAGGCUGGUAUCUUUUGUUUUAGUGUUCCUUCCAAAGUUUUUUGCUUCCAUAAAUUUUGUUACAUAACUAAAGCAGCAGUAUAGUAUCAUUCCACUAAUAUGAUGCAUAUCAAGACCACUAUCCAAGAGCCCCUCAGCCAAGUUAGCCAAUGAGUAAUUUAAUGAGGACAACCAGGAAAGAAUCACAACCAAUGCAAAAGAUUUUUGCACUCGCAACUCUCGUCUCAUUCGAUGUUACACCAGAUGACCGAAAAUUUUCCAGGCAAUUAUUUGGUUUAGCAAUUGUACAAAACUGUGCUCCAGCACUAUUGCCACGAAAAGUACAUUCUGGAAUCAACUUAUAAGAACUUUGACCUCGAACAUAACAUAAAGAAAUACUUCGAAUACACAAUAAACAUGUCAAAAGGUAAAGAAGAUACAUUCAAUCAGCACAUAACCUUAUGAUUUAUUUUCCACAAGACACAAACUAUCGAUACAUUUCCAUUGCUUCAAAUUGAAGCCAAUUCAGCUCAAUGUCCACGCACUAAAACAAAGAAAACACACACACACACACAAUUGGAAAGUAAAUAAAAAAUCAGGGAAUUAAACUCGAACUACAUAGUUUAAGUACAGGAAGAAAUCAAUUUAGUUGCAAGAAUGAAGCUUGAAGCCAAAAAGAAAAAAAAUAUAUCAAUCAGGGCUUAGAGGGAAAAGGGCUUAAAAAACGGACCUAAAUAACUCUGAAUAGCAGUUUGCAGAGCAGUAUACUUCUUAUUGGCACACUCCUUGAGCAUUGAGUCAAAUGCCCGGGUGACAAAACCCCCUGCAGCGCCAGCCAUUUUGGUAUUUCUUUCUUUCCCCCACCUCAACCCGAUUCAAUUCGAGUCAAUUGGCAAGAAGGGUCCUCUUAACUUGCAAAUACAAGUGAUUCAAGAUUGAGAUCAGAGCAGAUCAGGUGCAAGAUUAAUAAAUCUUGAGGUGGGCUAAUCAUGUAUUGAAUAAAUCUCAAAGAGUGAGAAAGGGAAUGGGUUAAUGCCUUACCUUCUUAUUUAUCUCUGGAGGAGAGGGAAAAGAAUGAAUAGGUAAGCGGAGGAAAUGGAAUUAGUGGGAGAUCUGGGAGCGGAAAUGGGCAGAAACGAAUGAAAAGUAGAUUAUAGACUCUGUUCUCACUUCUCAUUUGUCAUUGGUACGGAGAAUCCUCCGACUUGGGAAUUAAAGUCCCCUGCCUGCCUAUGAUUUCUUCCCUUUGAUUUAAUCUAGUAAUAAUAAAUUUCCCGCAUCCCCGUAUGAUUUUCCUAUCGUGACGAUCUUUUUUCUUAAGAUUUUCCAAGUAGUUUGAUUUGUUUCUUCUUUUUAUUAUUCUUGAAUUUUCACAAAUUGGUUUAUUGAUUUCCCUUUUGAAAAUUUCUUUUGUUUUUCUCUUUAUAUUUGAAAUUUAUGAAAUUUGUUUGUCAAUAUGACGAUUUUUUAGGUCUGUUUUAAAAUAUUUUUAUAUUAAUAUUUGAAUUUAUAAUAGUUAAAUUUUAUCUUGAUAAUAUCAGACAUGCACAUACACGAAUAGGAGAUUAAAACCUUAAAGGUCUUACUAUUUGUUGAUUUUUUUGGAUGUGAGGAAGAUUUUCUAUCUAUUAUAUACUUGUUUUUAUUUAUGUAGCAUAGUUUUAUAAUGAAAUUAUCCUUUUAUCAUAAAAAUAAAUAAUUAAAGAGGGAUAAAGCAAGGAUCUAUCCGUCCUAAAUUUGUGAAAAACCUAAUAAUUUAAAGCCUUAAAAGUCUUACUAUUUGUUGAUUUUUUUUUUAUGAGAGGAAGAUUUUCUAUCUAUCAUAUACGUGUUUUUAUUUAUGUAGCAUAGUUUUAUAAUGAAAUUGUCCUUUAUUAUAAAAAUAAAUAAAUAAAGAGGGAUAAAACAAGGAGACUAGAAUGAACACGACAAAAAAAAAACCAAAAUUUUAGAGUAAAAAAUACCAAAAAAUACUCGAACUCGUCGCAACUCAAUAUUUUCAAAUCGUUACAUUAUAUUUUUUUAAAAAUAAAAUUUCUAAAAUUAGCAAUCUAAUACUCGAGCUCGUCACAGCUCAAUAACACCUCAUAAUGAAUCAAAUAUUUUGUUGGGAGGCAAUUAAGCUGUCCGGUGGCCUCAUCGGAGCAUGCUGAAAAAGUGGCGCAUGCCAUUGGGCUUAACCUUAACAUAAUAAUGCCGAGUAAAUUCUCAUUGGAUUUUAUUGGCAUUACAAACCAUUAUUGUGGGAGUUACUCUUGCAAGAAUAGAACAUUUUUAUCCUCAAAUUAUUUUUUGUUUGAAUAAAAUAGCGUGAUUCCUACAAAUGGUGUGAAAAUUAUAAUUAAAUAAUGUUUAUAAAUAAAUCUGCAUAUAGUAAAAGAAGAAAUUUAUAGACAAUAAGACAUGAAUUUAGGAGUUACAAAACUCAAUGCCUUAUCGUUAACUAAAUAAUUCUACUAUAUAUUAUUAUUGGUAUUGAAUUUUGGACGCUGCACUCUAGUGCCUAAGAACAAAUGCGACAAACACCUAAAGUCGAGAAAUGAGUAUUUAACAUCUAAAAAUACACAAUCAAUAAUGCUUUCCAAGGAUAGAAUGUGUAAUUGUGUAUUCCUUGGAUGAUACUCCCUAAUUAAUUUGCUACAUUAUUGUUAAAUUGAGUAUUAUAGCAGGAAUAUUAGAAGUUAUAGUAUAAGAGAUCCUGACAAGUAAGUAAGGGUGUAAAUGAAUCAAAUCAAAUCAAAUGCUUUAGUGUUCAAAACUCGUUUCAUUAUAUGUUAACGAACUCAAAAUUUUGUUUAAGUUUGUCUUGUUUAUUUGACGAAUUGAGUGCGAACGAGUUUUUUUUUUUAUCGAAUUUAAAUGUUAUCGAAUGCUAUUAAAAUUUGGUCUGAUUAGUUGACAAAUCAAACUUGAACGAGUUUUUACUAAGUCGAGCUCGAUUCAAUUGAGUAGUUUGGUUUAUCUUUCAAUCCAACAGCAAAGCAUCUGCCUUUCACGCCUUUGACGAUAUUUCAAGAAGGCGCCAGCUCACGGGUCAAAGUUGAAGCCCGCCUUCUAGUUGCAGUAUUUGAAGGCCUGUAUACUUUGGUACCUACCCUGAGUGGCUGCUUAUUAGUACAGCCUGUGCGAUUCCAGUCACCUUAUUUUCUCAGCAAGCGAUCAGUUAUUUCCUCAACGUUGUCGCUUUGGGGAUGUCACCCGCCGGAGAGCCCGUGAGGGUGCAGGCCAUAGCCCAAACCCGCAACUCCGUUGUGCCUCCUCAGUACGUACAACCCCCAGAAACCCGACCUGCUGCAAAGCUGACCCAUCAUCAUAAGAACGAGGCGGCUGAGCUAUCUCCGCCGUCGAUUAAUCUCGCCGGAGAAGACACCGGCCGCCUCAAAGACGAGAUAGGGCUGGCCUGCAGAGAUUGGGGGGCGUUUAGCGUGGUCAAUCAUGGGGUACCGAUGGAAUUGCUGGAUCAGAUGAGGCGAGUGGGGAAAUCAUUCUUUGAGGAAUGUGAUAUGGAGCAGAAGCUCAAGUAUUCUUGUGAUCCUAAUUCGCCGGCUUCCGAGGGUUAUGGUAGCCGGAUGCUGGUAGCUGAUAACGACAGCGUUUUGGAUUGGAGGGACUAUUUUGAUCACCAUACCUUGCCGCUGUCGAGGCGGAAUCCGGCUAAGUGGCCUCAUUAUCAGCCUAAUUACAGGUGGGAUGGCUCGUAAAUGGUUGUUUAUUCUUCUAUUCUAAUCAAUCAUAAUUUAUCUUUGGAAUUGUAACCUUUGAUUGCUAUUAGUUCAGUACUUAGAAAAUUUUGAAUGAUGCAACCAGACAAUUGUCUGAAUAUUUGGAGAAUGUAGACCUAGACAGAAAAGGGAUGCUGGAAAAGGGGAAAAUGUGGGGCUCAUUUGGUUACCAGGACUACGCAGGAUUGGAUUGUUAAUCCUGUUUAGGGGUCAUUGGGUUACCUGGGAUUAGACAAGGUUAGGCUGGAUUGAAUGACUAAUCCCUUCUGGGGCUCCCGGGAUUAGGCAGAUUGGAUUAUUAAUCCUGUCUCAUCAAUGAACUAAGAGAAAAAAUAUGAGGGACAACGAGGUGGGGAAAGAUAAUAGACAGAAGAGGUCUUUUUGCAAAUUAAUUGUAUUGUAUUUUUUACAUUUAACUUAUUCAGCAUUGAUUCCCAUUUCCUAUCAUCCUCGCAUGAAAGGACUGACGAAAAAGUACAUCGUUGAUUAGAGAAGUAGUGGCAGAAUACAGUGAUCAGAUGAAAGUCCUUGCUCAGAGAUUGUUGGGUUUGAUAUCGGAGAGUCUUGGUCUGCCAUCUUCAUGCAUUGAAGAGGCUAUUGGGGAGUUCUGUCAGAACAUUACAGUGAGUUAUUACCCUCCUUGUCCACAGCCAGACCUUACUCUUGGUCUGCAGUCGCAUUCUGAUAUGGGUGCUAUCACGCUUCUUAUCCAAGAUAACGUUGAGGGUCUUCAAGUGUUCAAGGAUGGAGAAUGGAUAACAGUACGUCCACUGCGUGAUGGUAUCUUAGUUCUCUUGGCUGACCAAACUGAGGUACUGCAUCUUGUUGUUGACAAUAGAUUUUCUACUGAUUCUUGAUGGCUUUGGAAGCAGGUUUUAGUUUUCCGUGCACUUUUAUGCACCAUUUUGUGUUUCUGGUAGAGAUAUUAACUUAAUUCUCUUAUUCUUUUUUAUAUUUUUUUGGAUACUUAGUUUGUCUUGAUACAGUAGCAGUAUAUAGUUGCCAAUUCUUAGUAUCAUUCUAAUUUUGGAGAGGUCAGUCUGAAAAAAAAAAGCUUCUUGUUUUUGCUAAAUGACAAGUCUGGUAUGGUAUGCUCCAUCUUUCCAGAACUACUGAUGACUGAUUAAAUACUUAUUUUAUGAGCCAUACCCUGGUGGGUUGGGAGGUUGAAUCCCCAUUCUGGCAGUUAAAUCUUGAGAGUGCAGCGGGUUUGAUUCCUAGUUCCCCUUCCCAAAAACCCUGUCGGGUCCCUUUUAGAAGUAGAUCAAAGUUUAGACUGUUGCCUGGCCGUUGCUGGAGUUUGUGACAUUAUUUAUUUUGCUUGUAGAUCAUAACAAAUGGCAAAUACAGAAGUUGUCAACAUCGGGCAAUUACAAACGCUGAAAGAGCGAGACUUUCAGUUGCCACAUUCCACGAUCCUGCAAAAACUAGGAAAGUAUUCCCAGCUUUUGAACCACCUAUAUACCAUGAAGUCAUGUAUGGGGAUUAUGUCUCCUCAUGGUACACAAAGGGCCCGGAAGGGAAAAGGAACAUUGAUGCACUUCUGAUCAAAUACUGAAUGCAAAGAUAAUUCCGUUUAACUUUCUGCAAUUUUCCAAAUACCAUAGUGAAACUGUGACCAUGAUUUACAUUUCUUCAAUUUCAUUUAGUACAAACCAUGUAAAGAACAUUAGUUUUCAAUACAGUGCAAUGAAAAGCAGCUGAAUUAGCUGUAAUUUAUUUUAGUUUUGAGAAAACUAUUAUUAUUUGCCAUCUUUGUGUUUUGGAAGUUCAUCUUUGACAUGUUUUAUGAAAGAUUGUAUGCAUUAGUCCAAAAGAUCAAGAAAAUCUUGAAUAACUAUAGAAGAAACUUCCUCUGAGUAAGUUAAGAUGUGCUAGUCGCCGCAUCAAAAUCAAACACAAACCUCACUGUAUUCUGGACACAUUGUAGUCGUUCUUAAGACCUGUAUCCAGCUCUAUCCCAAGCAUCGAGUCAACCUGAGGGAGUGUAACACCUAUGGCUACCCUCAGCAAUUACAGAAGGCAGUAGCAAUGUUAUAAUUAAGUCAAUCAGGGGUACAAGGUACGAUCAAUACACGAAAGGUAACAUAUGGUUUCGACACAAUUGAAUAUUGCUGUUGAACUAGAUGCCAUCUAAUGCCCCAUUAGCAACCUCAGAUGCGUUUCCAUGAAGCUGAGAUUUUCUUGCUGAAGUGCCAUUACAACUGAAAGACAUUUCCACGACCUCCUUCAAGAAGGCAUCCACUUACCAUACCUGUUUCCAACGAGGACAAGUAUCACGAAAUGGAAAGCAAAAGAAGAAAAGAAUGCAACACAUCAAAUCUGAUAGUUGGAAAACGGUGUAGAAGGUAAAACUGAAGAUGCUUAUACGCGUAAUUCAAAAAUGACAUGUAUAAUAAAGCAACACAAGUAAGGAAUGUCAUAGUUGGAAACAGUUCAUGGUCAUUUAACCACAAGCAGUCUGUCUGGGAUAAAAACUUAAGGAACAGAGAUUUGAUGCAGCGCAUCUGACUAACCAGUCCUGGUACUGCCUCGACCUCAAUGCAAGAAAAACAAAAGAUAUGCAAUUUAAUUAGAGUACUAUAACAGCAUAGCAAGUGAAUAAACACCAUUUCUUUAUGUUAUACUCUUACUCACAGCUUAUAGUCAUAGCACACAUUCUCUUCUUGGGAAGUAACAAACUUGCAUCACCUCAGCCCAUUUCUCCACUCUAUCAGAUCAGGGUAAAAGCAUACUUGUACCUGCAUCAGAAGGUCGAUAGCUUAAUCAGAUGCUGACAAGAAUUAUUGAGCUCAAGUAAAAUCCUGAGACAAACAACAUAAUGUUUUACUUCAACUAGAGCAGUGAUCAGUUGGUUGAACCCUGACCUAGCAUCGCACGUUCUCCAUAUCCAAAGGGAUUCAUUGCCCAAAUGGAAAGAUAACAUGAGUUAAAGCUGCAUCACCUUAUAUUUCUGAAGGUCGGGUAAAUAGUACAUCACUUCAGCAUAAUUUGCUGAACGCCCUUCCAAAAUAGUUUCCUAAGUCUCUGGAUAGACAUUUUAACUGAUGCAGGAGUCACAAAGUUCUACGGAUUAAGAAAUGCCUGUCAUAAGGACAAGAUUUGAAGAUUAACGAGGUCAAAGUUUACUUACCAAGAGACUGAAUUAAAAAUACAUAUACAUACACACAAAGAUACCUAUAAAACGGUCAAGACAACUUCAUACCUAAACAACCAAUCAAGAAAAAAGAUCUCAGAGAAAGGUCAGGAUGGCUCUCCACAGUUACUUUGCCAGCAGACAACCAUCAGCUCUGGUCUACCAGAAGCCAUCACAAAAUAAAUUCAAACUCAGGUCCGCAACCAGUCAGCUUAAGUUGCCCAACCAAUUCAUCCAGUAGCAGGUAAAUUUCUUCAGAUGCUGGAUGACAAUUGUCACAAGAAGCAAACUGAAAUAUGUUCUUCUCCACUUCAAUCCAACUGGAUCCAGGAUAUCUCUUUUCUACUCCAAGGUUCUUCAUGUUUGCCCUGAUUCUAGCAACCUCACUCCAUCGAUUUGCUUCAGCAUACAUGUUCACUAAAAGGUUAUAGUAUCCACUAUUCUUUGGCUCCAGAAGCAUUAACUUAUCAACAGCCAUCUGAGCAAUCUCCAAGUUCUUGUGAAGCUUACACCCACAAAGUAAAGAACCCCAUAUGACAGAGUUUGGUUCAAUAUUCAUUCUUCUUAUCAGUUCCAAUGCUUCAUCAAGUAAACCAGCCUUGCUUAACAGAUCAACCACGCAUCCGUAAUGCUUAAUUUCAGGAGGGAUGAGAAGGUCACGAGUCAUUUGAAGAAAUCUGCUUUUGCCCUCUUCAACCAGUCCAGCAUGAGUACAUGCUGCAAGAACACUAAGAAAGGUAAUGCCAUUUGGCUUUAUCUUCUCCUUCUCCAUCAUAUGAAAUAUCACCAAAGCUUCUUUGGCACAACCAUGAGCUGCAAGCCCUUCAACCACAGAAUUCCAACAGAAAAGGUUUUUCUCGGACAAUUUGAAGAAUACCACAAGGGAUCUCUCUACGGCACCACACUUUGCAUACAUAUCAAUCAGUGAUGAACCAAUGUAAACAUCAAGAUACAAUCCACUUUGCAGAACAUACAUAUGUAUCUCCUUUCCUUGGUCUAGCCAACCAAGAUGAGCACAAGAAGAAAUGAUUGUUGACAUGGUCACUUCGUCAGGACUGAUCCCAUUAUCCUUCAUCUCGUUGAAAAUCUCUAGUGCUUCUUUGUAGUGCUUGUUUUGAGAGUAGCAGUUGAUCAUGGUUGUCCAUGAAAUUAAAUCUUUUUGCGGUAUUCCAAUGAACAACUGCUUAGCAGACUCAACAUCACCAAUCCUUGCAAAACCAUUCAGCAUAGUAUUCCAAGAUGCAGUAUUUUUCUCGGGCAUCUCAUCAAACAACUUCCUAGCAGAACUCAAAUCCCCAAAACGGACAUGAGCUGAAACCAUUGUUGUCCAGGCAAAACCAUCUCUCUCAGGCAUCUUAUCAAAUACUAGUCUUGCUUCAACAACUUUACCAAAAUUUGAAUAAUAAUCAAUAAUAGCAGUCUGAACAUGAAGAUGAGUUUCAAAUCCACACUUCCAAACCUGUCCAUGGAUAGAAUCUCCAAAAUCUACAGCCUUCAAACAUGUGCAGCUCUUUAUUAUUGAUGAAAACGUGAAACUAGUUGGUCUGACUUCAGUUUUCAACAUGUCUACAUACAUUUCUAAAGCUCGGAGUGGAUGGAAACAACGGAGAAAGGCUCCUAUUACUGCAUUGUAAACAAAUGUAUUGGGAUCUUUUAACUGGUCAAAGGCAGCAAUUACCCAUUCUGUACAACGAAUGCUUGAAGAUGCAGUGAUAAAUUGAUUCAUCAGGAAACAAUCUUGCGUUGCAUUUGUCUUGAUCAUGAAAGCAUAUAGAGAUUCCAGCUCUUUCAAGCUUGAACAUUUUUUAAAAUCGCUAGCAAACAGACCAAGUUGUUGGCUUUUUUCUCCCACGAGUCUUCCACCUAAAUGACAGAGUGUGGUUCAAAUAAUCAUAAUCAGAACUCAAUAUCUAUUUCACUUUCUUGCACUUUUAACAUUAUCAAAUUUAAAGCUUGUCGUCAACACAAUACAAUACUGCCCUUGAAAGUUGCAGCAGCUACAGAUUUCAGAUUUUAAUAAGCUGUACAUCAACUCAGAACAAUUAAUUAAAUUACAUUAAUAAUAGAACAGUAAGUGGACAUUUCUUGAUUAAUGAAAAACCAAGAGAAAAUCAGUUAGGAUUGAAUUGACAUUGCAUUCAAACUUCAUCUAAAUAAUAAGCUCUGCUAGCCAUAUACACAUAGAUAUGCGAAUUGAAACAAUAUAUUGGCAAAAUGGAAACUUUUUUUUCUUUGGCUGUUCUCAAGAAUUGUCCCACAUACCUACUACAUCUUUGACGAAUUUCAUAGACUGAUUACGAAAUGGAAACAUGAACGAAGGGGUGAAGCAUCAUCCCAGUAAGUAAAAUAGACAAAACAUGUCUCUCUCUCUCUCUCUUUCUAUCCCUGAUAUAUCCCGGGACAGCAUAGUACAGAAAAGUUGUCCAUAGAAGAUAGGAAAUCUCGAAAGGUUAGUUUUAAAACCUCUUUGAAGGGAGACUGGAGAGUGGGGGUUUUCAGAAGGAACAGCUGGAAGAGCUGGGAAGGUGGCUAUGGGGUGGAAAACUGGAAAUAUGCGAAAUUGGAGAAAUUGAUAUUUCAGGGGUGAGAUUGAGAAUUGAUUUCUUGAAUUUAUGCUUUGACAAAAUUUGAUAAACCAUUUUGAAUUUUUAAUCAUAUUAGAGGUCUUGAGUUUUAAUUCCCUUUUUUAAUUCCAUGCUCCUUAACUUCUAUCAUUGCCUUGUUCUUUAAAAGAAAAAAAAAUGUCUCUUGUGAUUUAAAUUUUACUGUAAUUUUAAAUUAACUCCUUAUUGUUAAUCACCACUGCUUUUUGAUGUUUUGAUAUACUAAAUAUACAAAUGUACCUCUGUUCUUCAUUAUAUUCACAACCAUCCCUUUGAUGAAAAUUGUAAUUUAAGUAAACAACAGGGCAUUUCGAUCAUUUACAUGAGUGAAAAAAUAAACGAGGUGUAAUUACCAUUUUCCUUCCAAAAAGAAUAAAAUAAAUUACCUCACAGCUUUUUUGUUAAGAAAAUAAAAAGUAUAUAUAUAUAUAUAUAUAUAUAUAUAUAUAUAUAUAUAUAAUAGACACGCAUAUACAUUUUCUAAGUUUUUGGACACAGAUCAAAUACCCAUACUGUGGAGCAUGUGGCUAACUCGACUCACAUCUCGCGGGUCAAUCAUUUUUUGACCCUUAUCUGUCCUGCAUAUCAACAAAUCAAAUACCCAUCUAAAAAGAGUUUGAUUAGUUGAUACUAAUCUCGCCCCUCUUAUCAUUUAAUUUUUUAAAAUAAUUUAUAUUAAUUUAUUUUUAUAUUUACAUGUUAAUCUAAAAUUCAAUAUUGAUUUGACCAAAAAAAAGGUCUUAUGUUGAGAAACGAACAUGCCAAGAGAAUACAUCAAAAAGGUCAAAAAAAGAAUCCAAAACUAAUGAAAUUGUUAUAAAUAUGAUCCUUUUUUUUGUACAUAUUCUACAUGAAUAAAACUUUUUUUGUAAAAAAAAUAAUAAUAAGAUCAUGAUAUUACCAAUGAAUCUUAGAAACAAAUUAUAGAUGCUCAUAUUUGGGAUAUAAUUUGCUCAACAAAAUCACUUAGUUAGCUCUAAAAAUAAUAUCUUGUAUGUGUAAGUUGUCGUGCAAAACAAGGCGAGUACCUGACGGGUUUUUAAUCAUAUGAUCUUAACCCAACUUGAAAAAAAAAGGAUAUCUGAUUUUUUUUGACUUAAUCAAAUAAUAUGGAUCAAGUACCCUAUUCCACGACGUACUAAUAAAAAACACAAUUCAAAACUUUAUGAUUUUUUUAUAAUAAAUGAGAGAAUUUAAAUUUAAAUCCAAGACUUCUUACUUAUAAUCCUUCCGAUCUUCCAAUCAAAAUUAAACCUCCCCCCCCCCCCCCCUUUUCUCUAUGGUGGUUAAAUUGAUUGAAUCUUGACUACAUUAUGCACAAAAUGCCUUACUCAUACUCUCCCGCCGCGCACAGUCCACAGACACCAAAAAAAACCACGGACUACUAUCCGAUGACUUCCAGCGAUUAGUUAGUCUGUAGGCGUGGUUGAUGGUCAAUGAAAGCAAAACCAAUCCAAUGGGGUGGGCAAUAUGAAGUCCGAAACUGUCAAAACCUAUCCAAUGGGUCCUCUCCUCCGUUUCUGAACAUUUGACAAAUCACAAAUCCACCAAUCGUCUCGUCAUCUGAUUUCCCAGAUUUCCCCUUUCCUUAUCAUCUUCGCCAUUGCAUAUAUAACUGACUACUUUCGUACUACUCCUACUUUUCUAGCAGCAAAUCAAACCCACAAUAUCCCUCCUCAGCAGCAAUGUUGCUGAGUGCUCCAAAACUCUCCAUUUCCCCUUCUUCUUCUUCUUCUUCUUCUUCUUCUGCUGCUGCUUGUUCUGCGCCCCUCCUUUUCCCUGUCAAAAAAUCCAGCAUCCCAGCAAGAAACUUCCCUUCAUUUCUCCACUCCGCAACAUCUCACAUUUCUCUCGGCGUUCCCCGAGCCGCCUCCUCAUCCUCCUCCCCCUCCCCCAUGAUAGAGAAAGAAACCUUAGAAACCCACCGUCCCCACACCUUCCUCCGCGAAUCCGAUGAGGCUGCGGCCUUCUCCUCCUCCUCUUCUGAUUCUGCCGGCUCAGUCAGGGCCAGGUUUGAGAAGAUGAUUAGGGACGCCCAGGACAGCGUUUGCGCCGCAAUUGAGGCCGUGGAUAAUGGCAGCAAGUUCAAGGAGGAUGUCUGGUCCAGGCCCGGCGGUGGUGGCGGCAUCAGUAGGGUUUUGCAGGACGGCGCCGUUUGGGAAAAGGCUGGGGUCAAUGUCUCCGUGGUUUAUGGUGUUAUGCCGCCUGAAGCUUAUCGGGCCGCAAAGCCAUCUUCAGAUAAUGGUGACAUUAAGCCCGGGCCAAUUCCCUUUUUCGCCGCUGGCAUUAGCUCGGUAAUCCCAAUUUUACAGCUUUUCGUUUUCUUUCUUUGGUAGCACAAUUUUACGGGUAAUUAUUGCUCUAUGGUUGAUUGGAAUGAACUGUCAUUGUUGGAGGUACAAGAAUUGUGGCUUAAUGGACGACUUUAGAAUUAGCUUGUGCUGGUGGGCUGCUUUGAGAGAAUUGUAGUGUUUGCUUAUAUAGCUGCAAAGCUGCAAUACUCUUGAGCUAAAAGUGCGAUCAACAUCUUUUGCAACUGGUUUUAGCCGGAUGAGGAAAUGCUUCCGAAUUUGUGCUCUCGUUGGGUUUGUGUAUGUAUGGUAAGCCCGUAAUACUCGGGGCAUCGUGCUUGUGGGAUGAAAAUCCUAAGAAGAGGGUAAAGUUAUAGUAUUUUAAUAAGAGAUGGGCAACAUUUUGUAAAUUAUAGCUGAGCAGCUAUGAUUAUCAUUUUGAUGAAGCUAGAAAAGUAUGCCCGCAUGUUUUAUUUGAUUGUUUAGACGGGGAGUGUAUUGUUAAGCACAUAUAGGUUGAACUUUUGUUCCUUCUGAAAAGGCCAUUUCUUGAUUGUUUUACAUUUUUUGUACUGCAGGUUCUGCAUCCACACAACCCCUUUGCACCGACUUUACAUUUCAAUUAUCGGUACUUUGAGACUGAUGCUCCCAAAGGUAGUAAUUUGUGCUUCUUGUUCAUAUGCUUCUUGUGAAUGCUGAAGAUUUCAAGAAUGAUUGUUAAAACAUUGUUUUGCAUGUCAAAUUGAAAUCAGUGAACGGAAUCCUGAUACUUGCAGGUUUACUGUCUAGUUUAAUGAAACCACAAAAGUAAGAAAUUUUUGUAAUGUUUUUAAUACUGCUAAAUUCUUUCCGCAUAUCCUUCACUGAUCGCUUUCGAUUAUUAAAGCUGCAUGUUCCUGUUUGUUGAGGUUCAAUUAAAGUACUCAGUAUGAGAAAGGAUCUUUCCGAGGUGAUGUGAUUCCUGUAAAAACUGAUGAUGCUCCACUGCCUAAGAUUUACAUAAUUGUGAAGCAAAAUUGGAAAAUCUACAUAUUCAAAGGAAUCAACUUCUUUGUGUAGUAUAAGAUUGGUAGGAUGUAUUAACAAUGGAUGUGUUUACAAAAAUCACCUAUGAUGAAGAUUUUGUACUCGAUAUGAUUCCUGUAAAAUGUCUUCUGGCUUGUCUGCGAUAUGCUUCGAGUGCAAAAUAAACUUGUUGUAAAACCCACAUGGCAAUGCAAAGCAACAUAUUGUUGUCUCUCUCAGGAAUUUUUCCCCUAAAGUUUCCUCCAUUCCUCAUCAUGGUCUAUGAGUUAUUUUAAAACUGUUAAUAACUAUUUCCCGAUAUGUCUAAUCUCCAUUAUAGAAAACUGUUUUCUACUCCAUGAUUUGAGUUGGAUGAAAAGCUCACUUGGGAGUUGUUGGAGUUGCAGUUGCAAAUUUUUUGAUUGAGGAAUUGGAAUGUGUGCAAAAUCUUGUAAAUAUGAUAUAUUGGGUCAGCAUCAGAAUUUCUAUGUUUGUAUCUGGCUUUCUAUACAAUAUUGGUCAUGUCAGAACCCUUCGAUCAGAAUUGCAUUUUUUAUGGUGUCUUUAUCAAGAUUUCAUCUUUGUCUUUGUUGCUCUAUUAUUAUUAUUAAGUGAAAAGCUAUGAAACAUGCUAUAUAAUCAUUACCUGGGUUUACGUUAUAUGCAGAUGCUCCAGGAGCUCCUAGGCAGUGGUGGUUUGGUGGUGGUACAGAUUUUACGCCUGCUUACAUUUUUGAGGAGGAUGUUAAACAUUUCCAUUCGGUAAGCUUAUUCGUUGUUAUGCAGUACACUUAAAAAUAAUAUUAAGAGCACUUUCUUUAUUGAUACAUGUAAAAUUAUCUGUCUCAAGGAUAUAAAUUCGAAUAUGUGAUGGUUCACUUUUAUCUGGUGCAACUUGCUUCCAAAGAUGUCACAAGUCUUGGUUACAUGCUUGAAAUCAUCAUCUUUCGGUCAGCUCGGGAGCUGGCUCAAGAUAUAUAUUUGAUGAAUCAGUAAAAGGCAAAAUGAUCUUAGAAGAUUUAAUACAAAUAAAGUAUCAAAACAAGAUUCUGGCUUUCACUACUUUCAUAGAAAGCCAAAUUUUUAAACAUACAAAGGUUAUCCAGUGAUAUCUAAUUUAAAAUUUUUUGGAAAAGGAAAUUUACAAAACAAAUUCAGUCAGUAUAGUCCAGGUCAACAGGUUCUGUAUCGAUAAGUUUUGGCCGGUAUCUGAACUUCUGAUUUACUGCUGUCAUCAUCUGGGAUACAUUAUUCUGCUGUAACAAAGAUUUUUGCAGGUUAGAUUGUGAGAUUUCAAAUAUUGUUUCUCUAACUUCCCUUCUAAUGAAAACACUUCAUUCAUCUUAUCAUUUCCUUCUUCAUGAAUUUCUAGUUCACUACCAGAGUUCUUCAUGCUGGUCUUUGUUUGCAGGUCCAAAAAAGUGCAUGCGACAAGUUUGACCCUAGCUUCUAUCCUCGAUUCAAGAAAUGGUGUGACGACUAUUUCUAUAUUAAGGUACGCAUUUACAACAAGGAACAUUUUGGAUUGACUAGUCUGGUUUUUUACCUGUUAGGGAAACCAGCAUCUAAGAGACUGAAAUGUGGUUAGUUCAGAUGCAUUUUAUCUUUCUGCAUCAUUUUGUUUCCAAAACAACCAGAGUUCCUCAAAAUUUCCAGCUACUAAUUUGGAGUUUAUAUGUAGGAAAUCUGUUAGUCUGAAGUCCAAAAGUUAUCUUAUUCUGAUGCCAUAGUUGAGUCCCUCCCUUAGUUCCAUUAUGAAUCAGGGUUGAUGUAUUUUAUCGAUGCAAUUUAUCUGAGAGGGCAAGAGGGAAAAAUAGGCAGGAGAGGAUAGACUUAUGUGUGCUCAGACUUAUAGAUGAGAAAGUUGAUGAAAAGAAUAUCUAAUCCUGUAUGCUUACUUUUCUUCAUUUUCUGUCUUACUGUUGGGCAAAGAAAUUUCUUUUCUUACAACACACUUGGUUUUUGUGCUAACAAUCUGACAUUGACAGAUUCUUUCUUUUAAUUCCUUAUAUUCAUGUAGCUUCAGUUCUUUAUGCAUUGAGAGUAAUUUGAAGGGAAAUAGCUACCACACAGGGAUUUUGUCUCUGUUUAUAAUCAGAAACUGGAAAUAAGUUGCUGCUUUUAACUUUUAUUUUGUUCUUUGGGUUAUGUGGAUACUUAACAUACAUAGUGAUUAAGAAGCGUUUCAUUCUUUGAUGUUUUUCAUUGUCCUUUUAAAUGCAGCAUCGUGGAGAGAGGCGAGGACUUGGCGGCAUAUUUUUUGAUGAUUUGAAUGAUUAUGAUCAAGAGAUGCUUCUUUCUUUUGCUACUGGUAAUUCAUUUUUUUUUUUUUUGUCAAAAUGAUAACAUUUGUAUUGAUUUAAACUUGAUAAUACAAGAGCACUUUACAAAAGGAGCUCAUUGCUACUGGUAAUUCAUACUUGUAGUAAUUGUAAGGAAUUGUUAACAUUGUGCCAUAUCACAUUUCCUGUCUUUGUGAUAUAUAAUGGAGCUUCUACACUGCUAAAGUUGGUAUAUCUCUCUGAGGCAUUAGAUCCCCAACUUCUCCAAAAAUCUUAGUGGUUCCCUUUGUUCGUAAGAGCUGAAUAUGUAUUUUGCUAACCAUCAUAUUCACCUAGCAACUGGACUUAUCAACCAGAGUAGGAGCAUUUUAGCCGGUCACUUUUCAGCAGUAUGCUUUAGCAAAAAUACUUUCUCAACUUUUAAACGUGGUAGAUGUUUGUAUUGUACCAAAAGAAAAGAUACCGAAGAACCUUAGAUUAGCACAGUAGAGAAAUACUGUGACCCAUUAAAAGUUUCUUCGGUGUUUAAAGUGAACUUGAAUCUGCCUUUUUUUUAUUAUUAUUAUCAAAUUGCAGAGUGUGCAAAUUCUGUGAUCCCUGCAUAUAUACCAAUAAUAGAGAAGAGGAAGGAUACACCAUACACAGAAAGAAACAAAGCAUGGCAACAACUACGAAGGGGGCGCUAUGUAGAAUUCAACCUGGUAUGAUAUCGGAGCCCCUUUGUUAUAGAAAUGCAUAGCCUGGCAACUCUUCUAAUUUUUCUUCUUUUGGGCCUAAACAUUGAAGGUUUAUGACCGUGGAACAACAUUUGGUCUCAAGACAGGAGGCAGAAUCGAGAGUAUUCUUGUUUCCCUUCCGCUAUCUGCUCGUUGGGAAUAUGACCAUGUAACCUUUUAUUCUACUUUCACUUUUUGCCUGUCUGUUGGUGGUAUAGAUAACACAGAGUUUUAAAACAAAAAGUAUUUCUAUCAAGUUUCUUAGACAUUGAUUAGGCACACGAGUCUGUCUGAUUAAAUUGUAUAGAUGCUGGGUGAGAACAUGUGAGACAUAUUUCAGUUGCCUGAUGAUUCUGUGAUGCGUAAGAUUUCUAUCUAGUAUUAGCCACUGCCAGUGGCGUGCCUAAAAGCUGCAAUGAAAGAGGUGAAAUGGCUUCAGAAUGACAUUAUUGUUUUCUGGAUUGCAGAAACCAGAAGAGGGGAGUGAAGAAUGGAAACUAUUGGAUGCAUGUAUCAACCCCAAGGAGUGGCUGUAACAAUUUUGUGAUGAUAGUAUUUUGACGUGGUGUUCCCUGUUCUGAUCUGGGUUUCGUGUUUGCCUAGGUUUGUCGCAUUACAAUAUGAGUCUGAAGCAUUGCGCCUAAUAAUGGGCUUGUGCUUCUUGUCAGGCUGUGGUUUACUUGAUCGAAAGUCGGAAGAGGAAGGUGCAUUUGUAAAUCUUACGGGUUAAAAAUUGGCUUCGUUUACUGGAGGCGAUAUUGUAAGUUGGAACUGUCUUAACAUGUAUAUACAUCGUGGUUAAUCAUGAAUAACCACAAUAUUCUAGGUGUGAGCAAAUGCCUGAAAGAACAUUGAAGCAGGCUCUCUCUUUUCAUAACUUGCAAGUUAAGAUUGCCUGAUUCUCGCAGUGUUGUGAAAUCUUUGUUCAUUUGAUCAUACAUAAUUUCCCCAACAAAUCAAAGGGUGCAAAGGUUUCUAAUUAUGUUGGCUGGUUCUCUCGUGAAAUGAUGAGGCUUUGGGCCAAGGAAUCAGGAGGAUGAUGAAUCUCUGUCAUCCCUUACUGACUUCUUUGACUGAUAUUUUAGCAGAUAACCAAAAAUUUGCCAACUCGUAAACUUGCACAUUUCUAAUGUAUGAUGUUUUAUCGGUAUGCAUAUACUCCAGUUGUAAUGAACUACUUUGACAGGCGAAUUAUAAAAAAAAAAAAAGAAUUUAUUUCCAUGAGUAAUAUUUUUUAUUUCACUGCUCAUUAAGAAACUAGGAGUCCAUCUGAAAGACAGCAGCAACUCGGCGAUAUGAUGCCCUCUGCUCCUAGCUGACAUAGGAAGUGUUUGGACAGUAGAUUAUUUGGAAUUAUUUUUACCUUACUAUUUAAGAUUGCGUAAAUUUGAAAAGGCGUUUGGAUAGUAAAUAAAUCGUGUAAAUUAGCGUUUGGACAGGUGCUCAUUAUUGAAUGCAAUCAGUUGACUUUGAUUUCGAAAAUUUUGACUUUGUAGUAAGUUUAGGCUAAACCAAUGCAUACUUAAUACAUAGACCGUACAGAUUAAUUUAGAAGUUGGAACAAAAAGUCAUUUUAAGUACACUCCAAACAUGGAUUGUCCUUUUACAGAUAAUUACAAAUCGGUUAAUUCGCUGAACGCCUAAUGGCGUCGUCGCCCACAUUUGAGUCGCUAUGUAGUUUCGUUUAGCCUUCCAUUCCGCCAGCUCUGCAGGAGAUACGUUCAAUGCGAAUGACUGAGGUACUGGCCCGUCUACUUCUGGCUCUUCAUUUAAGUACACGUCUUCUGAUUCGAACCGUUGAAAAUGAGCAUCUUCCGGUUGGUGCAUCCUUAAAAAGUUGUACAAUGCACAGCAAAUAAUGACUAUAGUUAUUUGAGUACUCAUGUAGAAAUUAUCCACCGGACCCUUUAAAAAUUUGAAUCUUUUCUUCAGUAUACCGAAUGUGCGCACAAUGACACUGCGAAGCUGCGAAUGUCGAGUAUUGAACAAGAUCUUUGCCGGAGAUUCGGAGCCCACGUUCUUAUACCGGGGCAUGAAGCCAGGAACAUUCCUAUAUGCUGCAUCAACUAAGUAGUAUUAGCCUAAUUGAAAAAGUUGGUACAAUUAAUAAACGUGAUAAAAAGCAGGAGUUUAGCAUUUAAAGCAUGACAUUUAUUGACUUGAAAAAUUGGGACCAUCAUUUACCAGGUUGCGGCAGUGAAAAAUCCGACGGAUAUGCUAAUGCUGACUCUAAUACUCACGCAUCAUGUGCAUUUCCCUCCCAUCUAGCAUAUACGUAGAUGAAGCGCAUGUCAUGGUCACACACUGCCAGAACAUUCUAUGAUUGAAACCUGUGCCGGUUUGUAUAUGUCAUGUGCUCGCCUGUCGGAGGACAAGCAUGGAUGUGGGUGCCAUCCAUCGCUCCUACGGCAUAAUAAUAUUCAUGCAAAACAUAUAAUCAUCUGUUUUGAAUUAACUUACUACAUCGAGCCAAAAAACACUCCUCUUUACACAUUAUCUUGAACCAUGGAUAAAAAUUAGUUGAGUUUGCAAUUCGUGGAUAAACUGCAGUCUGGUCACCCGGUCGUAUUAUUUCAGCUGCAAAUAGACACAGGCCUCGGAGCACCUUUUUUAUAUUUCAGUUAAUCGUCUCGAUGGAUCGAUAAAAAAUAGUCUCCAACACACGGUACGUAUGCUUGUGGCUCACCAACAUUAAAGUCAUAGCUAGCGCCUCCUGUAUGGACACACGCUGUUGGUAGUUGUGUGAAACGUACUAUCUCUGGACAAGGAUAUCAGACAGUUGCAAGAAAUUAUCAACCGUGAUACGUAUGUUGUCUAUUGAUCGUCUAUGAUGACCAUAGAGUAAUCGCUCCACCCACUGUCUAUCGGUGAAUGAGCCAUCAUGUUGCGGAAGUGGUUGAUUGUUGGUUACGUGUGCAAGAGAUGGAUGCAUUAACAUUAACGAGACACUCAUAAGAAGUAAGACCUCAUCUUCCUUAUCUUGCCUCAUACGGUCCGAAUUGCAUCCCCUAGCACCACGGCGGUUGUUUCAAACCAUGAUAACUGAGUAUAUAUCUGUAUAUAUUUUUACAUAACGGUGUUCAUGUGUGUAUAUCUAAUUUCAUAAAUUUAUUUAUAUACGUGUUUGUAUACAUAUAUAAAAUGUAUAUACUAGACAUAAAAUGUCUUUAACUUAAAGUAUGAAAUUGUACACAUAUGUCCCAUCAGAGUUUUCAUCAUCCUUUCACACCAAUUAUGAAAACGAGAGUAGCUUUAUGGAAUUAAAGAUACGUUAGCAAUAUGACUUUUAUAUCACAAGGAUGAUAAUUCAUUACUGUGACAAUCCUUUCCUACCAACCUCACCAAAGAAAAAUUUUUCUUUUUCUAAGAUUAUUAAUUAGCUUUCAAAAAGGUCAUAUUCUGAUUAACAUUUGAAGUGAAAUUCUUUCAAUUAAAUUUGAAAUAAUAUUCAAAUUUAAAAAGUGGGCCAGUAAUUGUUCUAUAUAAUUACUCAAAUAAUCUAUGCGCGGAAGGCUCUUUCUUUCUCCUUAAGUUUAGAAACUGAUUUAAGAAGAAUUUGUUCUCGAAAUAACCUCUUAACUAAAUUUAAGUACAUCCAAAAUUUUUUAAAAACAACUCUAUAAUUGUAUUAAAUUGUGCACGGGACAAUAGAGGCUAGAGAAUUUUAUAAAAUUUAUGUUGGGAGAGGGGCAGGGGAUGAGUUAUUUCAAGUCAGAUUGUUAAAAUUUCAGCAGGAUGACAUAGUACUCCAUUUCAGCACGUAAGCAAUAUGGAGCCCGUGAUGACAUCAGUUCAUCUUCUCAAUUUUACUUCUAGUUAAUUCUUAAAAGAUUUCUAGUCUAAUGCUAUAUCAUGCUUCUUCAUUUUCCAACCAAGUGGGUACAAACGUAUAGCCAAAUGGAAAAAUUCCAUUCAGAAAAGAUAAAUCAAUCCUUUAAUGAGCAAAUGAUGAGAGUUCUUUUUUUUCCUUUUCUCUUCUGUGAAAGUUAUUAGAAUUUAUUACUACUUUAGAUUGAACAUGCAAAAGACAACCCAAUUAAAAGUUUGAAUCGUACUACCUCAAAAAGAAAUAUCUCAAUAUGAAUAUCACUUUAACUUCUAACUUUCACUUUAAUUCGUAAUACCUCAAAAUGAAAUAUCACUUUGAACAUGAAAAUAUGAAUGACUUUUAUACGAUACAUGUAUAAUGCAUUAAAUGAGAUUACAAAUGGUUUCCAUAUAAGAACUAAAUAACCAGAGAAAUUGAAUUUAGAUUGCAAUAUUACAAAGAGACCGCUACUACUUACCUCGCUUCCACUGGCACACCACGUAGUUUACGGUUUGCCACACUCUUUGCCCACACAGGUACCACGUACAUAAUCAAUUGUAACACUACUUUGGGAGGAGAAAUGGCCGACUAUUCGUCUUGGUGUUUUGUCUCUGGUUUUCGUUCUUCCUUUGUGGAGUAGAGAAUUGGAGUGAAGUUCUUAUGGUAGUACGAUAUAUUUAUGGGGGUGGAUAGCUGAUCUGCAUUAGGAUGCAUUGGGGUUAUCGUACUACCAUAAGAACUUCCACCGCAAUUUUCACUUUAUGGUGGUAUGAUAUAUUUGGUCUACAGGCCUUAGGAUGCAGAUUAGCACAUGCAUUUUCGCAAUUUAUGGCCUCUGUAGCUGUGUAGGUGCUAGUACAUACCGGCAGACAUGACAAGUCCUUGAAUAUAGCAAGUGGAAACAUACAGUUGAUCGCAUUUCUACUUUUUCAGACUUCUAUUGGCCAGCAAAAGCAAAACUCACUAACGUACAAAACCUAUCUCUACCAUGCUUGGUAGGGAGUCUGGCCCCAUAGAACUAAUUAUUUGAGCAUCGUUUUGUAGUUCUUGAAGAAGUAUGCCAUUAUUGUCAUGCUCAAGCAUUACAUUUUACACUUGAACAGCCUCCCUGUGGGUAUAAGGAGUGUGUUUAAAUAGAAGAUUACUAGAGAAAAUUUCAUCGCGAGUACAGAAUUUUGAUAUCAUCGCGACUUUUACAUUAAUUUAAAACAAAUUUGUAUUUACAUAUCAAAAUUAUAUACUUUUAAAACAUUGAUAAAUGUUAAAACCUAUUACAUAACCCAACAAACUGAGGAGGUCCAUUUCCGCUUGAGGAAGUCAAACUGGUAGAGAGUUAUAAGGUUUGGUGCAUCGGACCACCACUUCAUGCCAUGGUUUGCCAUUAUCGAUAUAGAUAUGAGAAAGCUACGGCUGGUUGGUUGUUUGGUGACUUUGGUCCCUUCGGCUUCAAGUCCUAGCUACAAGUUGGCAGUAGCUACCAAAGCCAUUCCCUUACACUAGUGGAGGAAUCUCCACACACCUAUUAAGUUCAAUCAAAGACUUUCUUUAAAUCAUUUAUUAUUAGUGCUAAAAAACUGUCAUGAUCUAAAAGUCAUAAACAGAGAUGAGCUGAAAAAAAGAAAUAAAGGCACCUAAUUUCGUCCAUAAGGAAAUUUAUUGUGCUGCUUAGCUCUUAAUACUCGAAUAAGAAAUGGUCACAUCCCCUUUAUUAAGUACACUCGACAGCAUCUUUAACCCCUUCCUUUGGUAGAUCAAAGUGAAACGGAUCUGGGCUCCAAGACCUCUCGAAAAAACUCGUGGUAUAUUAUUAUCUGUGAAACCACCUCCUGUGAUGUGGGAACCUGUUAACAAGAAUUAAAAACAGACAGCUAAUCCAUGGUCAAUCACGUUCUAGAAGUACAGUCAUCCACAAUGUACUUUAAUAGUAGAAAAAAUCCACAAUUGGCAUGCCACAGAACGUGUUCUUAAGCCAAGCCUUUCUCCUUCAUCAACUUAAGGAUGUAGCCGUAGUGGUCUGUUGCAAAAACCCUAAGGAAAAUAAUCCUUUCACCCUCUCUGUCACUAUUGGCAUAAUGACAGUUAGCAUGUAUUCUCCAAAGGUCCGGAAUCUCCAUUGUGUUGAUCACAUCUUGGCACUGCAUUACAUUGUAGAGGGACUCGAACUCCAUCCUACUCCGUCUGUUAUCAAGUACGAAAUCGAAGUAAUUUCCAAUCUUGCUUAUAGCGUCCUCGAGACCAGUAGAUGACCGUGUCGAUUUUGACCCUCUAGUCCCCUCCGGUUCACCGUUGGUUCCUAGGCUUGAGGCUGAUUGUUUUCCUCCAACUGCCCCAAGAACUGGGGAAACAUAGUACACGUCAUCGUCAUCCCCUUAGACUGGUAUGUUCGCCGGAGUAGGAGCCCUCGAGUUAGAGGCUUUACCUUUUCCCUUCCAACUUUUAGCAUAAGUGUUGUCUCUUUCACGGCUAGGUGGUUCCGAUGGAACUACCUUGCUUGUAGACUAGGCACGGCUGCCUGUUGCAUGUCUUCCAAGCAAUAUUGGUGUCAACCGAUCGUACCAGUAGCAUGAAUUCUCUUUUUUGAAUUCAGCGUACGAGGCAAUAGUCUAAUGAAAUGCAAAUCUGAAGUCAGCACCAAGGAAAGAGGCUCUGACUACUACUUAACUACUGAAAUAGAAGAUAUUAGAAGCAGUAGAGAUGCAUUUCAAUAGUAUGAGUCUUGGAACAGAAAUUUCCUUAUGAAUAUUUUUCACCGAAAGAAAAAGUGGUUGGCUAGAAUUUGGAAAAUAUAGAAGGCCCUAGAUCAUAAACAGUUAUCUAGACAAAUAUUGGAGAAGGAACCAAGCUCGGCAGGAGCUAGAUGCAAUACUAAAGUAAGAAGAUUUAUUUUGGGACCAAAAGUCAAAAAGUGUCCUGGCUACAGCAUUCUUUCACAACACCUGAUUUUUCCUCUUGUUUGGAGUGAUAAGAAGGAGAAGAAAUAUAUUGCAAAACUUUAAAUACGUUAAUUGCACUUGAAGCAUCCUAAAUAGUUCUCAAUUUGAAUCCAAGUAAUAUUUUGCAUAAAAUAGCAUGCAAAAGGGACUACUGUGAUAAGUGACUAAUUUACGUAAUAAUUGUAUGACAUUUUAUAUUAUUUUUAGUCACUUUGGUUAUAUUAUUGGAAGAAUAUGAAUCAUUUUGGCUAUAAUUGGUGAAAAAUGCUUUUAAGUGAUUAAAUGAGAUUUUUAUCACUUUUUACUUGGAUUUUGUGUAUUUUGACAGUUUUGACACAUUUUCGUAUUUCGGCUAUAACUUGAGUUACAAUGAUCGGAUUGGGAUGAUUCUUGAACCCAUUUGAAGAUAAGAGAUAGAUCUACAACUUUGGUGAAGACAUCCGAAUCCAGUUUGAAGGUUUUAAAAAUCAAAAAGCCGAAUUACAUUAGCUAAUUUCUGUUGGUCGAAGCUGAAACAGGGCAAUAAGCAGACAAGGGUAUUUCAGUCAUAUCUCAGCCUACACAGAUCCAAAUGAGGUGAUUCUUGAUGCAUUGGAAAGAUAACUCAAAAGGCUACAACUUUCAUGUUUUACACAUGAGCUGGUUCAGCCUCUAACAUCAAGAAAAGAUCGGUUGAAGUUGGGCCAAAAACAGAGCAAGUGAUCCACACUCGGAUCCACUAUUCAUCCGAACGCUCGGCUGUUUCUGGGUUAGUGGAUCCGAGCUCGGAUCCAUACGGAUCCGAGGCACUGUAGCAGCUCGGAUCACUGGUCAGAAAAGGCUGCUUUAUACGCGUAAAACUCAAUUUCACCUCCACCAACUCACAUGGGAUGCUAGACAUGUGAGAAACAUUCCCAGCUGUAAAAGGGAGUUGAAAACAUCAUUUCUUGACCAACCUUUCAUCAUUAAAUAGCCAAAUUCAUUGCAAAAUGAAAAGAGGGAGAUGAUAGAGUAAGAGAUAGAGAGACAUACGGGAGAAGCUUGGAGUCUGCAGAAAUGUAGCUCUUUCAUCUUCCUAGUAUUAGUUUAGCUUAGUAUAGAGUAGUAUAGUUCAACCAUUCUUGUUUAUUAUCUAGAUUAGGAUGAAGAUGGAGGAUGAAGAAGGCAAGGAAGAAAGCUCAUGUGACAAGGGUUGUAUUCCUUCCAAACUCUUUAUCUUUUGUAUUUGAUUCCAAGUUUAGUUAAUAUACAAGUUCUGGAUUUCGUGUGUAAUAUGUGUUUUUAAAGUUUAAGCCUUGGGUUUGGUUGAACUUUCUAUGAUUGUUAGUGUUUAUUAUUUGGUUAUUUGAUUGCUAUGAUUUGAGCAAGUUAUUUAGCACUUUGGCUUCUUAAAUCAUGAUUAAUCUGGUACCAUUAAUUGUGAUUAUCUAAGAUGUUGUUUCUGCAAUGAAAAUUGAGAUUUAACACUAGUUCAAGAAGUGCUAAACAUAGGGAGUACACUCACGAAAGUAGAGGUGCACUUAUGUGGUUUUUAGUGAUUCAUUUCAUGUAAUUUCAUUGAAGAAAUGAACUUGUAGCUAAUUUCAUAACCAUGAAAAUAGGUAUGGAUUAGUUAUGAGUAUAGUUGGUUCACUACGAAAGUAGGUUUCACAUGUUUAAGGAAAUUACACCAUAAUUAGCUUAGAUGUAGUACUCAAUGAUCUAAAUAUAGCACUUGCAUGAGUAGUUAGGGAUACCACAACCUAAGGAGCUUUUAUUUGUUAUUUUGUAUAAUUUUAGUAGGUUAAAUUUGUUAUAAUUCAUUGAUAGUCUAAAUAAUAGAGAAGCUUUAAUAAUACCGGUAAUUGUUCACUCUUCCCUGUGGGAUCGACCCGAUAUAUACCCUAAACUACUAGUUGAUCUGUAUACUUGCAGUGAACGGGUGUAAUUCGGUUUUUUAACUUGUACGUAUGUAAAAUACCCGUCAUACUGCAUCCACUUCAUGCAUUGAUUCCUAAAGUUUACAGCCUAGAGGCAUAAUGACAUUGCGGCCCAUACCCCUAUGUAACGUGAACUAUAAAGUGGUCACCAAAAUCAGGUCAAGAAACAAAGGGCAGUGCUGAAUUUUCUAGUAGGACAAGUGCAAGCUAGCUUUAUCAUGAGGCAGAUAUAAGUUUAAAUGUAAGCAUCCCACACAAGCUACUGCACUCAAUGAGGACAAUGAAAAGGAAAAAAGGGAACAAUACUGAAUUUUCUAGUGGGAUCAUGGGGCAGAUACAAGUUUAAAUGUAAGCAUCCCACACAAGCUACUGCACUCAAUGAGGACAAUGAAAAGGAAAAAAGGGAACAAUAAAAGUUAAGAAGUUUUAAAAGGCAUAUAUAAAAUGCAGUAUUAAAAGGCACUUCAGAGAUAGCAGAAAUCCAAACUGUGGCUGCCGAAAAUCAAUUAACAGAAGUGAGGGCAGCGACAAGUCCAUACCUGUACCUAGUUGACCCAAUGUUUAUCAUCAGCAGUGAAGUAGUAGCUGUCCUCACUCCACCCAAUCCCGGUCUCUGAUUUUGAUGAUAUCCCAUGCAGAUUACAGAACAAGUCCCAUUUCUUCUUGAUGUGAUAGAAUCUGGUAUGCAAUUGCUGGCCAGUGACAGUCAUUAUGCCAUUACUCGCCAAAAGGUCUGCCAAUAUGUCGUAGUUUGUCUCUAGCGACUUCUUGUUGUCCAACCAGUUAUUUUCCCUAAAGCUAACAUAGGCUGUGUGGAAAGUUUUGGCCAUUGCAUCGGUCCAUUAAAUCCUAGAAGUCAUUUGCUAAGUUUGAUGAAAAAAACAAUUAGCGCUGGACGAAGAUUACAAAAAUUGUUUGAAGUGCUUUGGAAAAAGAAAUGGACAAUUAAUAGAGAAAGCAAAAACGGAUCAAGAAGGAACUCAACGAAUUCACUUGCCUCAACGCAGAUGGAAAGGCAGUCGAUGUAGUUGUUGGAGACCGUUGAUGAACGGGAGGAGCAAUCGGAUGAACAGCUAACAGGUGAGCCUUCAAAAUUCGAACAAUAAGUAGUAAGAUUUAAUUAAUAUGCUGCGAAAAUUCCUUUCUAAUACAGAUACACAUGGAAGAAGGACAUACAAUCGCAAGAAGGCUUCUUCCUCUUCUCAGCGAUCAUAACCGAAGAGAGAACAGCCUCAUAACCAAGUAAUGGUAGCAGUUGGACAGUAAAAUUAUUUAGUCAUCAGAAAAAAUAUGCAUCCAAACAGCAUCUGGGAGUUUGCAUCCAAACAAUCCCAGCAUGUUAGCCACAAAUUCCAGUGUGAAACAAAAUAAAUCUUGCGUCUGACCAUUCUGGAAAUUACUAGACACAAAUAAUAAAGGUUUUUAACUCCAAAGAACAAGAUAAUAAUUCUGCCCUUUGACAUGUAUCUGAUCUCAUCAAAUGAGAUUUAAAACAGACAAAAAAGUUAAUGCAAGUAUAUAUUCAUGAACUGUGCAGGCUGUGGUAAGCACUUUCUCAGAGAUGGUUAUCCAUGUAAAUAUCUGUGAUUAUUAUAUUAGAUGGGAGAUGCAUUCAUAAAGAAAAGACUACCUUUACACCCUACAAGACACCAACAAAAAGGCAUACUUCCUUAUCAAAACCUUCCACAUGAGCAACAUGACAUAUAUAAUCUGGCUUUUUCCAUGGCAGUUUCUUUAUAGUUUCUACUUUCUACUACAAAACUAAUGUUGGUGAAACUGGCCAUAUCACCAUCAUCAUUACUAUCUCCAAUUUAAGCAAGCCAUCAUUUUUCAUUAUCUAGUGAAUUUGCUGUGAACCACUUAAAUCGUUUGGUUAAAUAAUUUCCAUUAAAAGAUCUACUUGCUAUCAAGAUUCUAUUAAAAGAUUGAGAGGUAAAUAGUUCCUUUUCUACACAACAAUAUAUUCGUCAAUUUUUUCUUCAUGAUUUCUGCUCAAUUAAUCAUUACUAUUACCAAGAAACAAAAAUAUAGUGCGGGAAAUUUUUCCAAAUUCUAUACAAGUAAAACUUUAUUAAACAAUUCAUGUCCAACAUUAAUUUACGUUCAAGAAUAAAUUUUACUACAUUUCUUUUUGUUUUUAGGGGCGAUGAAGAACAAUAAUCUGUAUUCUACUUCAAAGUGAAAUAGUUCAAAGCAAAAUUAACUUCUAAUAUCCUUAUCCUCCUAAUAAAUUCAGGUCAAAUUUUGUUUUCCCCAAUUUAAUUUUGUCCAUCCAUGAUCAGAAAAAAGGCACAAAAAGGAAUAAAUUCCCUAUAUGCAUUUUACUACUAUUAUAUAAAUUCCGAUAGCAAUCCACAAUUAGAAAAACUGUUUUAAUGCUCAUUCCCUCCCAAUUUGGAACGCUAAAGCAGCUUUAUUCCACAAUUCCAUUCAUAUUCGUGUUCAAUUAAAACUGAAAAAAUUAAUCUAGCUAAAAAAAUCUCUACUCUUCACACACACCCAACACAAAAUUAGGUGUGAAUGGAAGACAAUCAGCUGAUAAAUCUGUGGAGAACUAGAAAGAGAGAUCAACGCAGGAGGAGGAAUUUAAAUUGCAACUGAUGGUAAAUCGAGGGAACAUACCUGCCGCUGUAGAUAUGGAGAAAGAGGGAUGUUCUCGAACCAACUUCCACUGGAGUGUUGGAAAUUGUAACCGCGGCUAGACGAAUGCGGGCUAGAAAUUCAAAUCACAGCUAAACUGGUUGUUUGUCGGAUCUGAUUGCACGCUGGAUCUGAUUGCAGCUCUCUUUGCCGGUGGGAGUUAGAUGAAAAUGGCGAAUAUGGACAAGUACAGAGGAGCACAUGAAACCUGUCGUGCUCUAUUAAGGAGUAAAUGGCUUUACUCCAGACUAACGGUUACUUUAUUGCAUGCCUUUGAAAAAUUGUUGCCACGUCAGACGUAUUUGAAGUGUAGUAUGACUUUAGUGCAAAAGACUGUAGCACAUAGGAAUCCAAUGUCGAUUAAAUGCAGAUGAAAAACCUCACUUUUAUCUUAUACAGUCCAAAUGGUAAUUUCCUAAAUAGUGAAAUAACCAACCAAUUCUGCAUUCCAAACAAUUCCAUAGCUAUAUAGUGCAUGGCAAAUGCCCGAGAUGAAAAGUUUUGCUAUAUAGUGUAGGACCACUGUUCUGUUCAGUUGUGUCAACAGAACAUAUUUGUAUUUUUUUAUAGAUGGCAAACAAACUGAUUUAGUUAAAUUUAUUCAUACCCGCCCAAAAUAUAUGCGUAUGGGUAUUUUAAAUUUUUAUAUAUGGGUAUAAAUGGAUUACCCAAUAAUACUCAUUUAUAGUAUUUAAAUUGUACUAUAAUGCCCAUUCAAAUCCAAUUAAUCCAUUUAAAAUUAUCUUCUCCCAACCCUCAUCUCUUCUCUCACACAUUUUUUUUCAGAUUUUUCAUUUUUUCAUAAUAUUAACUACUUUUGUUUCAUUAUUAUUAUUAUUUGUUGGUUUUAUCUUGUCAUUUUAUUUUCUCUUAGUUCGUUAAAUUGCUCUUUUUUAGCAUUACCAAUUUAUGACUAAGUUUUAGUCUCUUUUCCUACUUUUUUAAAAUGAAAUUUAAAUUUAUACACGAAAAAAAUGUUAGGGGUUCAAAUUUUUGGAUUAAGUUUUUAUGUUAAUUUUUAUAGUACUUAAUUAAAAAUUUUACAUUCUUAUUGUUCAAUUAUUAAAUAGUAUAUAAUUUUAAUUACCAAUUAUUAAAAUUGAUAAUUAGGUUUAUUGAACAUUACAAGUACGAAUGGGAUAACUUAGUUUGCAAAAAUGAAUUUAAAUGAGUUUACAAAAAGUUAAAAUAAAUAGGUUAUAAAUGUGUAAUUGGAUUACCCAAUUCAUUUUUCGAUUUAUCCAUUUAUACCCAUCUAAUUAAAUGAGUAUAAAUAGGUUAACUCAUUUAUACUCAUUAUCCAAUUUAUUCAAUUCAAACCCGUUCAAGUCAUCCAUUUUGCCACAUCUAGUAUUUUUUAUGCUUUACGCUUAUUUUUCAUUAUCUUUGUCGUAUUUUAUCUUUUCCUUUCAUUGGUAAUAAUGCAUAUCUUUUUCUUACCUUUUGAUUUCAAAGCUGCUUCUAAGUAUUAAGUUUAUCGAUAUUGCUUGUUUGAUCCAUCCUAAAUUUCAACUCUUACACCCUAAACUUAAACAUAGAAAAUCAAGAUAUAUAUACCAUUUGUUUGCUUAACUAUUACAACUAAAAAUCUGUUGUAAAACUAAUAAACUAUUAUAGUAUAAAUGGAGAUAUUAGAGAAAUGAGUAGAGAAAUGGAGAAUGAUAUUCUUAUAUUUCAACAAAUACCAAAGUCUUUCCCAAAGGGUGUCAAUGUACCUCUAUAUAUAGGUACUACAAGAUUAAAAGUACAUUAAUCCUAUUAAACACCCACUACUACAAGAAUAUAUAGAAACUUAUUAAACGGUUCUUCCACUACAUGAACAGAUUUAUGGAUUGUAACUUCUAUACAUAAUGUAGCCAUAAAUCAAGAAUUAAUUCUCUUGGAAAUACAAAGGGACAUCCAUACUUUUAAUUGUUUCAUAACACUCCCCCUUGGAUGUCCAUUAUACAAAAAAUAUGCCUCGUUAAAACCUUACCAGGGAAAAAUUCAUCGGGACAAAAACCCUAGUGAAGGAAAAAGAGUACACUAUUCUUGUGUAUUAAUUUCUCCCCCUGAUGCAAACAUUAUUUGAGAUCUUUUAAUCGUUGCAUUCCAAUAUUUUUCGCCAAUUGCACUGAGAUAUGUUACUUCAGGACCAAGUAUCUCUUCAUCUUCCUCUUGCGAUCUAAAAGGAUCCUUUUUCGGAUCUAAUGAUCUGACGACCAUUGAAAUACUUAAUUUAUGUGCUUUAUCCAUAUAAAAUCGCUUUAAUACCUUCCGAGUAUAUGCAGUUUGGUGGAUAAAAAUUUCACUUUUCAAAUGCUUAAUUUGUAAAUCAAUGCAGAAUUUUGUCUUUCCAAAAUUUUUGAUCUCAAAUUAUUUCUUCAAAUAUUCAACACUAUUUUGAAUCUCUUCAGGAGUUCCAAUCAAAUUUAGAUCAUCAACAUAUACAGCAAUUAUCACCAAAAUUUGAUCCAUUUUUCUUGAUAAAAACACAUGAACGUAUUGGAUCAUUGGUAUCCAAAUAUUUGUGAAAAUUCUUGGGCUACUUGCUUUAUACCUUCAGAUGUUUGGAAUACAAGUCCAAAAACUUUUCUUUUAACCAAUAAAUUCAAUUCAGAUUGGAUCGUAUCUUUCCACUUUGAACAAUCAUUUUUAUACCGACAUUCAUCAACCGAUAUAGAUUCAUGAUUCUCAUCAACUUCUAUAAUAUCAAGUGCUACAUUUCAUUAUGUUCCAAUUAAAUUUUUUAUGAUUUCAUUCUCUUCAGGAGUUGGCUCUUCAGGAGCGACCUCUUCAAGAGAUUGAAUUUUAUCAUGAUAUUUAUUUAAUCUCCGGAGAUAUUUGAAAUCAAUUUAUGCCUUAUUUAGAUAGGCCGGUUUUAAAUUUAUUUAUAGCACUUGUGAAUGUCCUUCAGGGACAUCAAUUUUAACCAGAGUAUUUCCUGCAGGAAUAGUUGAUUUAAUGACUUUUCUGGAGUUGAUAAAUAUAAUUUUCUACAAAUGAAGAAGUUCUUGAACUUCUAGUUCACAUUAUUUUGUAUGAGGAUCGAGAAAAUUCAAUUUUUCAAGUGAUUUCCUUUCGAUUGAUUUUUUUCUCUCCCUAAUGUCGGGAAUCGUGGCUCAUCAGAAUAAAUAAAUCAUUCAAUAGAUCACCUAUCAAUAUUUUAUAAUAUUUAAUCAUAAAAAGUGAUUCAUACCCGACAUAAAUUUUAAAUUUCUUUUGGAGCCAUAUAUAAUAUAAAGGAAUAUAUAUAAAUACUUGUCGGCUCUUAAAUAUUCUCACUUUUGUCAAAUCAUAUAUCCAUUAGGAUCAGUAAACUUCUGGUUUACUGCAGGUGAUAAUUAUAAAUCAAAUGAAAAUUAAGACAACUAUAUCGAUAACCAUUUCUCUAACCAUUUCUCUCUCGAAUGGUUAUUAUGAUAUAAUUAACCUUUAUCUCAUUUGAUUUUUAAACAUGACCUUUAUCAUUGUUUCAUUUAGUGUCUCAAUUUGAUAUCCAUUUUGACGGAUAUUCAAAUUCAAUAAUUCUUUCGAGACAUGGUAAAAAUUAGUGCUUUAUUUAUGAUAAACUUUUCUCCUACAAGGAGAAAUAUAGCAGUGGCUCUUCCGAAACUUUCAAUCACUUAAGCACUACUCUUUUGUUGGAAAAUAGUGUAUAUAGUAGCACUUAUUAAUGAGACACAUAUCGUUGUAACCAUAAUUCUUAUGGGACAAAUAUUAUCACCAUAAUCCUUUGAUCCCAAAUAUUUAACAUCCAUUUCUUCUUCAAGGAGAAAAGUCAAUUACUGUCAUAAAUUAAAUCAAUCAUCAUACACCUUCAGGACGUUUAAAGAAAUUGGUCAUGUGAAAAUGCUAUUAUAAUUUUGAUUCGUCAAAUGUACUUCGGGACAUUUAUCUUUAGGACCUUUAUUUUCUUGUCCUUAUCAGUAUUAUCCCACUUCAAGUGGUAACUUUUUCUCUUGUUAUGGUAAAAUACAUAUUUACCAAAAUCAUAGUCAUGACAUUAACCAUAACUAGUAAAUUGAAAUUUAAUCACAUUCACUUCUGGGAAUGGACUAGAAUUAGCAUGCAAUAAGUACAAAACACUUCUCAAAAUUUCUCUUAAUAUUGCUACUACAGGAACAUAUUAGAGAAAUCAAUUGUGGAGAAUAUCAUUUUCAAUAUAUCUUAUGAGUAAAAUUUUCUCGACACAAUUUCAACUGAGAAGUAAUUCUGAAAAUUACAGAAUUAUGUUCUUGUAGCCAUAGGUAAAUUUAUCAUAUCAAGUUUUUGAAAUAAUGAUCAUCUUCUAGUGGCCAAAUAUUUUCGUUAAAGAACGAUCAUCUUCAGAUGGUCGAAUCUUUUUCUUUAAAUAUUUCAAAGGACAAGUAGAUCCUCAAAUAUAAUUGAUUUUCUAUAAUAGCAUCUCCAAAACUCAAUGUAUCAGAAUAUAAGUAUCUAUAACGAAUAAUUCUAAAUGUAAAUAAGUAGAAUUAAAAGAAGAAAUAUUACCUCAAAGGUGUCAAACAGUAUAUGUUUGUGUUUAGUGAUUGCUCAGCAAUAGAACUUGUAUUUUUUGCGAUAAUUCAAAUAUUAGCCAUAAGAAAUUGAAAUAAGUUUGUGAGUUAGAAAUUUACCUCAGAAUUUAUUUGAAGAAAUGCGAGCAGAAUUUCGGCAAAAUCUUGUGUUUCACUUUUGUUCAAGGUAGAGCCUCUGUUUUCACCUUUUGCUCAAAAAUAGAGACUCGUGCUGAUAACGUAUUGUAAAAUUAAUAAACUAUUAUAGUAUAAAUGGAGAUAUUAGAGAAAUGAGUUGAGAAAUGGAGAAUGAUAUUCUUAUAUUUCAACAAAUACCAAAGUCUUUCCCAAAAGGUGUUAAUGUACCUCUAUAUAUAGAUACUACAAGAUUAAAGGUACAUUAAUCCUAUUAAACACCCACUACUACAAGAAUAUGAAGAAACCUAUGAAACGGUUCUUCCACUACAUGAAUAGAUUUAUGAAUUGUAACUUCUAUACAUAAUGUAGCCAUAAAUCAAGAAUUAAUCCUCUUGGAAAUACAAAGGGACAUCCAUACUUUUAAUUGUUUCAUAACAAAAUCAUUAUUUUGAUCAAUACAUACACCUACAAAUAAUUAGAGGGAAAAUCAAUUUUCCUUGUCACAAACACUAACUUGUAUCAAACAAUUAUCAAGUCUACUAAAUUCAGUACAAAAAUAACAUAGCAUGUAAAUAUAGUCACUUGUCUUUUCAAAUGGCAAUUUCUAUUCAUACACAACAUCUUAGCCAACUAUUGAACCAAUAAAUUGCAUCAACUACAAUAUAAUUUUCAAAGUGGCACAAUAAUUCACACACUUAUUCAUUCAAGCACACAAUUCAAGUGGAUCAAUUACAAUCAUAAUGACAUUUAAUCAACAAAUGGCAUGCAUCAAGUGGGAAUAUAGAGUUACCUUGUACCUUAGUAACAAAGUAAAAUUUAUGAACGAGAUUUCUCCAUACUUCACCUGUUUGCAAUAGCAAGUACAAAGGAUUAUUCACAAUUUUGAUUGUUGAAUGGAAGCUAUAUAGUCCAUAGACCAAAAAGUAAGAGCAAAUUUGAGUAUACCUCUACAAACCUAACUCUAAUAUUAUGCAAUAGAGCCAUUUGAAUCCAUAAUUUUGUAUCUUAACAACAGCCAUUAUUGUAACCUACUUUACAAAUUGAUAAGCAAAUGUUGAAGCAGAUGGGAGGUCCUGCAGUUAAUCACCCCAAAUGAUUCUUCACCUUUCACACUUUAAUGGCCUCAUCAACGUGCUGCAAUUACUAAUUAAAUAAGUGCCAUUUGUUGUAAGAACUGAAUUAAUGGUUGUUGAGCUUUGAAGGUUGAAGAAGACGGAGCUUUCUACCACUAAAAUUCAAGCAUUUAUUUUUAACUUUAGCGCACUAAUAUUGCCUUAAAUGCAUUUAAUUUGUAUAAUCAAUUUAGCUUAACAUACUUGAGGGGAGUUGAUUUCAUUUUUCUACCACUUUGCUAAAUCAAUGGAAAAGCAGCCAAAUCAUUAGCCAUCAAAGGGUACAGUAGGUAAACCAUGUGAAAUUAGUCAGCAGAAAUUUGUCCAAUUUGCUUAAUCAAUGGAAUUACAGUUUUAUUAUUUCCAAAAUGCCCCUACAAACGUAGGAUGAAAGUCACCCAAGAGUCAUACAACAACUCUUAUGUGGAUCCAAGUCUUUAACUCACUAGUCAAUGAAAGAUUAAAAGCACUUAAUGGUUUAUGCUUUGUGACUUGCAUUACACAAUCUUGAGGAUACGUUAUGGUUGAUGGCUAAGUGACUUGUGGAGUUGCGUGUUUUCAAAAUGAAGCAAUUAAUUUCAGCAAUUAAAUCCAAUUUGUAACAAUGUCAUUUUAUACAAAUGGCCAAAUAGAAUAGUAGAAUAAGGAGUAAGUGGGACGAUGUCGUAGCAAGAAAAUAACAGAUUCAGUUGAGUUAAUUCAGUCAGUUAAUUCAUCAUAUUUGUAAGAGAAUGAUUGGUUGAGAAGGGAAUCCUAAGGAAUAACAGAUUUUGCUUUCUUUCUCUUUCUCUCUCUAUCUCUUUCUCUUAUUUUCUCAUUCUUCCUUUUUCCUCUCGUCUGCACUUCUCUUUCCUAAUUAUGAAUUCUUAAUCUGAACCAAUUCAUCAGUUAGGUUUUCAAAAUUGAAGUCAGUAGCCUGACAAUUGGUAUCAGAGCUGGUUGAAUCCUUGGAAAAGGUCGAAUUCUAUGGCGGAAGCACCAGAUUCAAGACAUUGGAGGAGCAAAUCAGGAAGCAAGAAAUCAAGCUCCAAGAGGUAAUGGAAGGUCUGCAAACUUCACAAUUGCAGCAACAGCAAAUGCGGAAUGAGUUCCGAACAGAGCUAGAAGAAAGCAACAAGAGGAUGGAAGGUUUGGUAGCUGAAAUGAAGCAAGAGUUCAGUAUCUUCAUGAGAGUAAUUAUGAGCAAAGAAAAGGCUGUUCUAGAAGAAGUUAGGGAGAGAAUUGAACAAGCACCACUCUUACCAACUCUUCCACUAAAUCAGAGACUACAGAUUGGAUCAGAAAACAAAAAGACAACAAGGAAAGAAGCAGGUAAGAUUCUGAUGCCAAAUCCUCCAAAAAUCGAUCUGCCUUUGUUUAUUGGUAAGAAUCCAAGGGAGUGGAUCCGAAAAUGCAAUAAAUACUAUUUAAAUUACCAAAUUCCUGAAGAUCAGAAAGUGAAAGUCAUAGAAAUAUAUUUGGAAAGGAAAGCAGACAACUGGUUUCAAUGAGUUAAACUGAAAAAACUAGGGAUAACUUGGAGAAUAUUUGAAGAACUGCUAUAUAAGAGAUUUGAUAACAGAAAUGGGAAGGACGUGGUGGAAGAAUUCAACAAACUGCAACAAGCUAGAAAAGUGGAAGAGUACCAAGAGAAGUUUGAAGAGCUCAAAACCCUUAUGAUGAUUAAGAAAUCACAUCUAGAUGAGGAGUAUUUUGUAUCUAGCUUUAUUAGUGGGCUCAGGGACGAAAUCACAACCAUGAUAAGGAUGUUAAGGACUACAACCUUGUCGGAGGCCUUUGACAUGGUUAUAUUGCAAGAAGACACAUUGAGGCUUCAAAGAAAGAUCUCCAAGGAGAGUUGAAAAACUGUGCUUGAAAAUAAAUUUGGAAUUUCCAGGAAUUCUUCCCAACAUUAGAUCCACUGCUCACACUAUAAAAUGCCUUCUACUAGUACAUUCAAGAACACUCCAUUCAAAGGCAAACCAAUUUCUACUACAACUGCUGAACCUAAGAAGAUCUCAACUCAAGAGUUACAGUAUAGAAGAAAUAAUGAACUUUGUUUCAGGUGUGAGGGAAAAUUUGGACAGGGUCAUCAAUGCAAAUCUGGUCACUUAAACUUUCUGAUCACUGAUGAAGAGAAGGAUUCUGAGUUUGAAGAUGCAUUAGGGGAACAAGAUAAGUCUACAGGGAAUCUAGGAUAAGUCAUAGAUGUCUCUACAUGAAUUAACAGAGGCUAUAAAGAGGAAAAUAAUAACACUAAUAGGGAGUUAGAUGGGAAAGAGAAGUUAAUCUUAGUUGAUACUAGGAGUUCAGAUAGUUAUAUCAGCAGUGAAAAGGUAAUUGUUUUUGACAUUCCAUAUUGACUAGUUGAUUCUUUUUCUGUAAUUGUUGGAAAUAGAGCCUGUGUAACCAGUAAAGCCAUCUGUCCCAAGGUAGUGUGGGAAAUUAACCAACAUAAGUUAUGUUAUGACCUCAAGAUGAUGGAUUUAAGUGGUUGGGAUAUCAUAUUAGGGGUAGACUAGAUGAUUCAAUUUAGUCCUAUUACUUUUGACUUCCAUCAGUUGACUAUCUCCCUGCAUAAUCAAGGAGAAGUGGCAUAAUUGAGGGGACAAGUAGAAAAUUGUGAUUUGGAUCUUAUUAGAGGUAGUGACCUAAGAAAUUUUAUUAAAUAUAAGAAAUGGAUGUGCUUAGCCAUAAGAAUGGGAUAGGAUAAUCCAUCAAAGGAGUAUGUUAUGCCUACUGAAGUUCAAGAGAUCAUUGAGGAGUUUGCUGAUGUAUUUGAGACUCCUACUGAGUUACCCUCUACUAGGGAGAUAGAUCAUGAAAUCCGCUUGAAACUUGGAUCCCAAGCUUUUAAAAUAAAGCCACAUAGGUAUCCUCAUUCCCAGAAAGGUGAAAUAGAAAAGCAAGUGAAAGACAAGCUGUAGCAUGGGAUAAUCAUUCAUAGCAAUAGUCCUUUUGUUUUACCGGUACUGCUAUUUAAGAAGAAUGAAGGGACAUGGCAUUUCUGUGUGGGCUACAGAUGGUUGAAUGAGAUAACUAUUAAGGACAGAUAUCCUAUUCCAAAUGUCGAUGAAUUGAUCAAUGAAUUGGCAGGAUCAAGGUAUAAAACCAAGCUGGAUCUCACUUCUGGCUACCACCAGUUCAGAGUUAAAUCCAAUGAUACUUAUAAGAUUGCUUUCCAGACUCAUUGUGGCCACUAUAAAUUUCUAGUGAUGCCUUUUGGGCUGGCCAACGCACUAGCAACAUUUCAAUCUCUUAUGAAUAAGGUAUUUCAGUUAUACUUGAGGGAAUUCAUAUCGAUUUUCUUUGACGAUAUCUUGAUUUAUAACUCUACACUAGAGUUACGUUUAGAUCAUUCGAAGACAGUACUGUCUGUCCUGAGAAAACACAACUAUUUGUGAAGAAAUCUAAAUGUUCAUUUGCACAACAAACUGUGGAUUAUCUUGGCCACACCAUAACCGAAAAUGGAGUAUCCAUAGACCAGUCCAAAGUUGAAAGUAUCAUGAACUGGCCCAUUCUCAGGACAAUAAAAGAGUUGAAAGGUUUUUUGGGAUUGACUGGUUAUUAUAGAAGGUUUAUCAAGCAUUAAGGAAUCAUUUGUAAACCACUCACUGAGUUGCUUAAGAAGGAUAACUUUUCUUGAAACUAUGAAGCACAGGAGGCCUUCACUUCAUUAAAACACAUCAUGUGCAAGGCUCUUGUCCUUAAACUGUCAAAUUUUCAAAAAACCUUUAGUAUUGAGACUGAUUCUAGUGGAGGUGGAAUUGGCACAGUACUAAUGCAAGAGGGUUAUCUCAUAUCUUUCUUAAGUAAGGCAUUGUCAUCCAAAAAUUUGGGAUUGUCAGUUUAUGAAAAAAAGCUGCUAGCACUGGUAAAUGGUAAUGGCAUUGAUUAAGUGGAGACAUUAUCUAGUAAGGUAUCAUUUUGUUAUUAAAAUUGAUCAUCAGUCCUUGAAGUACUUGCUAGACUAGAAACUCACUACUACGUUGCAACACAAAUGAUUGGCUAAAUUGCUAGGACUGGAUUAUAAGAUUCAGUAUAAAAGGGGAAUAGAAAACAAAGUAGCAGAUGCAUUGUCUAGACUGCAUGAAAAUAAUCUAGGCCAGGCAACUCAGCUAGGAUCAUGCUUAGCUCUUUCAACUGUUAAGCCAUUGUGGAUGCAAGAACUUCAAGGGAGUUAUGAUUCAAACCCUCAGUGCCAGUACAUCAUUUCCCAACUAAUACCAGAUCCUGCUGCUCAACCACAGUAGGAAUGGGACAAUGGAUUACUAAAGUAUAAUGGCAAACUUUAUGUGGGUUGAGAGAUAAGCUAAUCCAGGCUCUUCAUGCAUCUGCAAUGGGAGGUCACUCUGGACAAAAAGGGUGCUGGCAAAGGUUAAAAACUCUAUUCUAUUGGCAUACUAUGAAGCACGAUGUCAUUCGAACUGUUCAAGCUUGUGACACUUGUCAAAGUUUUAAGUCUGAGCAUGUACACUACCCUAGUCUGCUACAACCAUUACUUGUUCCUCGUUUGGCAUGGACUCAUGUGACUAUGGACUUCGUAGAAAGUCUACUGGAGUCACAGGGAUAUAAUACAGUAAUGGUGGUAAUUGAUAGAUUUAACAAGGUUGGACAUUUCCUUGCCCUAGCUCACCUCUUCACCGCCAAACAGGUGGCUCAACUUUUCUUGGAUCAUAUUUUUAGAUUGCAUAGACUUCCAGAAUCCAUAGUGACUGACAGAGACAGAAUAUUCACUAGUGCUUUCUGGCAGGAGCUUUUCAAGUUGGCAGAAAUAGAGUUGAAUUAUGGCUCUGCUUACCACCCUCAAUCGGAUGGGCAGAGUAAGAGGCUUAACCAGUGUUUUGAAUCUUAUUUAAGAUGCAUGACUGGAGAAUUUCCCCAUAAUUGGAGAAGGUGGCUAGCUAUCAGCCCACUCUUUUGCCUCUUGGUCCUCAUUUGGAAACCAUCAUACCAGCCGCAUCUCAACUACUCCAGGAAAGGCUAAGGAUUUCCAGCAGCAUCAAAGAUCAUCUGACAAAAACACAACAAAUGAUGAAAUUUUUUGCAGAUUAAAAGCGCACAGAAAGGACAUUUGAGGUUAGUGAUUAGGUUUUGUUAAAGUUGCAGCCUUAUAAACAACAAUCAAUUGCUAUCAAGAGGUGCCUCAAACUUUCUGCCAGGUUCUAUGGUCCCUUUCAAGCUGAAGUGAAGGUUCGGCCAGUUGCCUAUCGUCUCAAAUUACCUACAGGAGCACGGAUUCACCCAGUCUUCCAUGUUUCGUUGCUAAAAAAGAAAAUAGGGCCACUAAACCAAUUUCAGUUACCCUGCCUGAGCUUGACAAUGAUGACCAAUGUCCUUUACAACCAGAAUUCAUUUUGAAGAGGCGGGUAAUCAUAAGGAAUGGAUAAUCAGUAAUUCAAUACCUGAUCAAGUGGUAUCAGCUAAAUGAGGAAGAAGCGUCAUAGGAGGACAAAGAUUUUAUACACGCUUAGUUCGCUCAGUUUCAGUCUUGAGGACAAGACUCUUAAAAAGGGGGAGGCAAUGCCAGAAUGAAGAAAUUAAUUCCAACAAUUAAACCCAAUUUGUAACGAUGUCGUUUUAUACAAAUGACCAAAUAGAAUCAAAAGAAUAAGGAGUAAGUGGGACGACGUCGUAGCAAGAGAAUAACAGAUUCAGUUGAGUUAGUUCAGUCAAUUAAUUUAUCGUAUUUGUAAGAGAAUGAUUGGUUGAGAAGGAAAUCUUAAGGAAUAACAGAUUUUGCUUUCUUUCUGUCUCUCUCUCUCUAUCUCUUUCUCGCAUUUCCUCAUUCUUCCUUCUUCCUCUCGUCUGCACUUCUCUUUCCCCAAUUUUGAAUUCUUAAUCUGAACCAAUUCAUCAGUUAGGUUUCUGAAAUUGAAGUCAAUAACUGACACAUGUGCAUUCUUGAGACGAACCAACCAAACCGAUCCCAUGUUAUGUCGAUUCUCGGGACAUUUCUCUGCUAGUGAAUAUGCUUCGUAAGGGCAUAAUUGUAGAAAAGUAAUGUAAAAUUGGCCAAACUGUCUUCACUGUUAAUAAAAAAACACUCCUCUUGAAAAGCGAUAAUCUUUUCCUUCCGGACAAAGGGAGUACCAUGUUCAUUGAGGCAACUUAGUAAUAGCCCUUCCCUCGUGCAUUGAUGUCAAUGUCAAUAAUGUCAACCACAUGCAACAGAACUGCGUCUACAAAUUUCCUUAUUACUUGAGGUAUGCGUGCAGAUGUUAUAUUAGUAGAGACUUGAACGACACCAUCAAAGUUGGGUCCUUGGAAGUGAAGACCAUCGAAUUUGUCACACUCAUUUGCCGAUUUUAUGAUGCCAAAACUGGAGGUUUGGACCAAGAACGUCAAUCUCGGGUUUAUAAAUAUUCUGCUCUUUUAGUUAGGAAGCUACAGAACGUCUCAAGGGCAACUUUGAUGAUUCGUUUAUGGAAUUGCAGUCAUAAAGAUUGUAUGCUGGACAUGGUCUUAGUUAGGUCUGAAUAUACAGAGACAUUUAAUUGCAAAUUAUCAAUUUUCAAGCUGAAACUCUCAGAUUCUCUGCCACUGUUAGGUAGCUCGUUCAUAAUAAUAACACUGAUGCCCUUGUUCUGGAGAUGUGACUCGACAUACAUCAACAGAAAAUAUGAACGCCAUAAACAGCAACCUCUCAUUAAAAGAAAAAGGCUGAAACAUCAUCAUCAGGAUCCAGUCUCGACCCACAAUUUCUUGCUACACAAGUGCCUGAUGUGACUUUCUCACAGGAUAAUUAGAAGCAUCAGAAUUAAUUAUGAAAUCCCCGCCACCCCAUUUCAAACUGCAUUUUGCUGUAACUACAAGCAUUGCUGUUCCGUUUAAAAAGACCGGAAUCCAGCUCUACCCCUAUCCGUCGAGUCAAUCUGAGAAGCUGUGUAACAUCUAUCUCUAUACAUACCAAUAAUUGCAAUAAGCUAGCAGCAAAAUUGAUAACAUCACACCCACAGAAAAAGGGAGAAACAUCAGAUGUGUCCUGGAAAAAAAUAGCACCAAAACUGAGUCUGGUUUAAACAUGUAAACCAUUUCCAUUGUAAUAUAUCCCAUCUAAAGGCCCAUUAACUAGCUUAGUUGGAGUUCCAUUAAUGUGUGGUUUUAUUGCUGGUAUACCAUUGCUCACUGCGUAAGGCUUUGCCGUGCCCUUCUUCAGCCAGGCAUCCAGUUGCCCAGAUGCUGCUGCAAUUAGUCCUGUUUCAAAAGGAGAGAGAUUAUAAUUAAAGUGGAACAUGAGGAAAGAGAUUCAUGUUGAAGACGGCAAGAAACAAUUCCUGUACCUUACAUGACAAAUUAGAAAAGAUUAUGGUAAAAACAAAAAUAGCAUUCUAAUCACUGACAAAGCAAAUAUACUACUGAACAGGAAAUCAACAGAAAAUCAGAUAAAAAUCGCCACAGAAAAGUGAACCCUUUUUUGGCAGGAAAGCUGAAGCAAAACUAAGAAAAAGAAUAUUCAUCCCACCAGCCAAUACCGUUUCAACUGCAGGAAUUCCAUAUUAUUUUGUGUACUUUAUGUAAGAGAAAUUUUAGAUAAAAGAACCGCACCUAAGAAAACUGCAGAAGGUUUUCCUGGUCUCGAUUUAAACUCUGGAUGAAAUUGUACACCAAUAAAAUAAGGAUGUUGUGGAAGCUCGACGAUCUGCAUAUCCAAAAAUCAACAUAAAAAUAAAUGUAAACAGAAGCAUAUCAUAGCAACAAGUAAAAGUAGUAUUGAGAUCAACCUCCAUGCGACGACCAGUUUCAUCUUUCCCUGUGAAGCAGAGGCCAGCAUCUUCAAGGAGAGGCACCAUCUCAGGGUUUACCUGCAUUGAACAAAGUUAUGCAUUCAUAAGGAGCUCUGGUGAUCCUCUAGGCAUGGAACAGAAACCCAGAGAAACAGAUGUAGAGAUGCUAAAUCAUGGCAAAGUUCGUUGCAUAGAAUGUGCACACACCUCAUAUCUGUGACGAUGUCUUUCAUCAACAAAGCUUCGAUUGCCAUAUCUAUCAUUGAAACAAUGUAAAUAAGAUAAAUUGGCACGCUUUUAUUCAUCAUAACUCAGUAUCCAAUGAUACAAAUCCAGCAUUUAUGACAACAAAUGAACUUAGACUCUCUUCGCAAUUAAAAGUAUUUGUCUUAUCCAUGUUGCUAUAUUGGAUGAAGAUUUUGAAUUGAAUAUGAUGAUCAUGGCAAACAACGCCUGAGAGUAGAAGCCUUUUCAAAGCAAACUAGGGGAACAAUUUUUCAAAAUCCAUACUGAGGUUUCUUUUUUGUCCUCACGCAAGGCUUGGAAGUAAGAAGUGUGCUAAAACUCACUGCCAUCCACUGGCUACUAGAUUUGACAGCCAUAUUAGGUAGCCAAGAAGAGACUUUUAACAUUGCGGGUUGGAAAUGACUUGGCAAUGAUAUACCAAAUCAAAGUUAAUGGGCAAAGUUAACAGAGCAUCCAAAAACUCUCAAGUGGUCAAAGAAAUGAUUUGCAAGCUUGUCCUAAUUUUUUCUGGUCUUCUUCUAGCUAAAGAAAGGGCAAAGAUUGAAGAACUCACAAUUUUGCUGAUUUACAAUCCUUAACCUGAAAAUAUGUCCUCCUUGAUCCUAGUCGCAUAGUACCACCCAUAUGGGUUUUUGAACCCUGUGAAAAAAAAAAUGGAAUGUGGAAAUAAAUACCAAAUCAAGAUACAGUUGACAUAUUAUGGGUUAACAUUCACCUAAAAUCAGCAGUAAGAGAAUCCAAACCUCAGGCAUAAAAAUCACACAAGGAUUUCUAGUAUGGGCAUUAAACUCUGUGCUAUUUGCAUCUUGCAUUCCAAGAACAGAUCGUGCAAAUUCAAUAACGGCAGUUUGCAUUCCUAGGCAUAUCCCAAGAUAUGGUUUCCGGUUUUCACGAGCAUACUUGGCAGCAAGUAUUUUACCCUCCACCCCUCUGUCACCAAAGCCUCCAGGAACCAGUACACCAUCUGCACCCUGUAAAGGAAGGACUUCAGAGGUUUGCAUAAAACAGAUGGGAAUCAUCCAGUGAUAGAUAUCUGAAAGGUGAAAUCCAUACAGACCUUCAACAGACUCCAGGCACUCCUAUAUGCAUCAGGGUUCUGUGAAUUGGACAACAAAAAACUGUUAAUCUUUGAUGCAAGGAAAUUAGAAAGAACCAAAUAGAAAACUGACCUCUUGAGCAGUUGCAAUUUCCAGGUCACUGGCAGGAACCCAAUCGAUAUAUAGUUUUCUACGGCAAGCAACAGAUGCAUGUAAAAGAGCCUGCAAAUGGAUAUUCAUCAUAUUAGCCAAAAAAAUACUUACAGUAAUUAAUCCACAAUCCAACCAUCAUAAAAAUUGCAUGUGACAUUACCUCAACUAACAGCAAGUAUCAGGAAAAAAUUGGAAUCAAUUUUACACAACCGAGGCCAUUUUAUAGAAUGACCUUUUAUUCUAUAAAAUGUAAUCUUCAUAAUAGUGGCUGCACUAGAGGAUUUUGAUAGAAUAACUUUACCUUUAGUACUGAUAGGUAAGAAUCAGAAAGGCCAGUAUACUUCCCAACCAUUGCAAUCCUAACCUGCACAGUCAAUUGUAAAUCACUCAGAAAAGCCAACAUGCAAUAGAAAAAAUUACGAAAAAAAGAUGAAGAAAAGACACUCCAAAAACAGACCGGCUCAUGCAACUUGUCACAAAAUUUGGCCCUAGCUGUCCAUUCCCCCAGAGCAGGUUCACAUGCAACACUGUUGUUGAGAAAACAGGAUGUUGCAAGUGUCAGUGAAUGAUGCAAGAGGAUAAAAAAAAAAUGCAAACGACAAAUAUUAUGAAAAAAGAAAAAGAAAAAGAUAAGCAACCUCAAAUUCCUUAACAAAAGGUAAACAAGGAAAAGAUUUGAGCUUAAUAGACAAACCCUUUCAGGUCCAGAACUUUCAAGAUUGCCUCGUGAGCCUUCUGGUCCUAAGGGAAGGAAGAAAAUAGACAUCUCAGCCUUAAAUUUAACAGCAGUAAUAAUAGCUAUUAUUGAAUCAAAUGCACCAAAACUACUUACUUUUAAAAGCAGAGGAACAUGCCAGAUGUUUGAUACAUCGUAAAGAGUAAUUAUGUUUUCAAACUGAAAAAUACAAAACAAAGAAGUCAGCAAAAACAGUAUUGCAAUUUAAUUAAAAUAGACACAGAUUUUUAAACAUUCUUCUACUAUAUUACCGGAACAUGACAAAACUGGGAAAGUUUGUCUUUGACUUGUACUUCAAGUUCCUGUAAAUGCACUAAAUUUUUAAAAUCAAGUCUAAUACUGCAAAAGAAGUGCAUGUGCAAACUCAAUAAGAGGAGAAGAGGGAGAGGGGCCACAUGUGAAGGUAAAAAGGGAAGAGGGCUCGAGAUCAAGACCUUUGUGCUGCGGCAAGCUAAAAUAUUUGGCAUAAGCCCCUGGCUCCUUAAGCCCCUAACACUGUGUUGAGUUGGCUUCGUUUUCUGAACAAGAAAUCAUGAUUAAAACGUUAACUUUUAGAGUAAAAUUUGAUAUAUUCUGUCAUUAUUUACUUCAGAAAAUUUACCUGCUCGCCAACAACAUUGAGAACAGGUACAAGGCUCACAUGUACCAAGCAAAAGUUGCCAGCUCCUGAGACAAAUAAACAUGAUUAAAGAAUGCCAGUUACAUUAAGUUUAAAUACCACCAACUCCUCUGAACUAAAGCCUACUAAUCUCCUUUUCGAAGUUCUAAUAGCAUACUAAAUCUUACCUACACGGUAAGAAAACUGUCCAAGAGCUUCAAUAAAUGGCAUAGACUCUAUGUCUCCUGCAUGAUGAAAGGACCUGCUUUAAGAAAUCAAUUGUAGAACAAACUCUUCUGCCGCAAUUAAGACAUCAAUAACAAUCUACCUAUCGUGCCACCCAAUUCAAUUACACAAACAUCAGCUGGACCCUCUAUUCCAUCAACUGGUAUGGCUGCAACACGUUCAAUCCACUCUUGUAUGGCAUCUGUAAUGUGAGGGACAACCUGAACAAAAGGUAUCCGGACAUGAAGGUGGAGUAAAACAAGAGAUUCUGAAGUGGACCAAAAAAAAAAAAUCAGAAGCAGUAACCAACCUGAACAGUUUUUCCCAAGUAAUCUCCCCUCCUUUCUUUAUCAAUGACAGACUGUUAAGAAAGAAGCGGCAAAUAAUCAUCAGUCAAUUACAGUAAAGCUCAAUACUCAAUAACUUCAAGUAUUAAACUAACACAACAAUAUCUCUCAAUUCAGAAGGUAAUUGCCUGGUAAAUCUUUCCGGUUGUAAUGUUAUUAUCACAGGUCAACUUGAUAUCCAGAAAGCGCUCGUAGUUUCCAAGGUCCAGGUCCACCUUCAGACAAGAACAGUCCUGUUAUUUUUUGUUAAGAGCACAGUAAUCACCCGACUCUCCACCCACUUAUAACAAACACUGCAUGCCAGAUUAGAGAAACUGCCAGCUAAUGUAACAUGUAAAGUAGGCACAGCGUUGAUCUCCCGCUUAAUGCUAAAGAAAUCAUCCAUUUCUUUGUCAUCAAGACAAUUUGAUCCAACAGGAGAACAGGACAUGCAGUGUCAAUACAGCACCAAACUAAAAUAUCCCGUUUGUUGCAUCUAGUUCAAAGGUGGAUAGCCACAAUACUCUUCACCGCGAAUUGCCAACUUUAAUCGCCACAAGCUACAUGAUAAUAAGUAUAUGAUGGCUUGGUAGGAGCACCAUCAACUUCUCCAUUAGCUAGACAUGAUUAAAUAACAUAUAACUAAAAGAAAAGGAGGGCAAAACAUCUACUACUAACCUCACCACCAUCAUCCAAGACAAAUACUUCUCCAUGCUCGAAGGGUGACAUUGUCCCGGCAUCGGUAUUCAAAUAAGGAUCUGGAGACAAGAAACCAUAAGAAUUAGACAGCUCCAUCAGCUCACCUUGUUAUUAAAGAUAAAUAACUUAAUGCAAAUUACUUCAGCAGAGUACUGCAAGUUUUAUUUUAUUAUUUUUUUUUUAUAUAUAAAGGUGUUUACCAUCCUAAUUAAAAUAGGCAUUUCAUCUUUUUUAAAUUGAAAGAAAGGGACAUUUUACUGGAACCAAAUAGUACAGAAUAAAGAGAUUUAAUUAUGAGGCGAUAAGCACACAGGUCACAAGCGACGGUUCAAUAAAAAUUGCAAAGGUCAUAACCAUUUUGGUUGUUGAUAACAAUCUGAGGUGUCCUCACUUACCUUUAAAAGGACAAAAAAAUGGCCCCUUUAAAUAAUCACACUUUUGGUAUACAUACACUAACAUGUAUAUAUACAUGUAUAAAUAAUUCAUACAUGUAUUUUCAAAAAAUUAAAGGAGUAGAAAGGGAAAAAAAAAAGUGAGAAGUUGCUGCUUUAACUCUCGACCAUGUAGAUAACUGGCAAAGGAAGAAAAAGAAAAAACCUCUAUGCUACUCAGAAAUAAAGAUUUAGCGGCUUGAUACAACAAAAUAUUAAUUGUUAUCAAAGUCUUCUGUGCUGAAGUAAUACGUGCAAUAUCAGAGAACCAAAAAAAAACUUUAAAUGUGUUUUUGGACAAGUCAAUUGAUAGGAAAAAGAAACAGAGAAAAAACGAAAAAGGUCAGAACCUUUUUGAGUCCGAUCCAUAGCUCCACAAUGAAAACAGAAACACUAACACCAGAAAAAUUGGAGAAGUGCAAACAAUGAAGCAGAAAUAGCAAUCCCAUUGGGCAUUUCUUUUUCGUUUUCUUUUUCUCCUUCCCUCCACCAAACCAGGGCAGAAACAUAAUACAGGGCGGCAAAGCCACGAAAAAUCAACCCCCCCCCACCCCUCCUCCUCCUUUCCCCCACCCCACGCCCUAUAAAGAAAAAAGACAAUAGAAAAGACUUAAUGGUUGAAUGGAGGAGAGAAGAAGAGCAAGCAAAAAUACCAAUCUUAAUGGAAGUGACCCGUAGCCCACAAGCUUUAAGGAUGAGCCCAAUACUGCUUGCAGUCACCCCUUUUCCCAGCCCACUCACCACUCCUCCAGUUACCAAAACGUACUUCAUUGCUACCCUUUUCGUUUUCUUCUAAACAACCAACAAAACAGACACAGCCCCUUCUCUUCAAUCCCUUCAAAAACAACAACAACAAUGACAAAUCAAUUUCUUCUCCAAUAAAGGUGCCAACUUUAUGCAAAACCAACGCCUGUGUCCACAUAUUUAUACACACAAACAAGAGGAAAAAAUAAGAACCUUAGUUUUUUGGAACAAAAAAAGACACAAACUUGGCAGUAUAAGUGAUUGUUAUCUUCUUCCUUGUAACAAGAAAAGCAACAGCUGUUGUGUAUUUGUUUUCACAAGGGGUGUCUUAGUAUUUGAACCUUAUCUUGUAUGCCACUAAACCCUGUAAAAAAUCUGGACUUUCUGUUUUCAAAAGAUUUGAAAAGACAAGCAGAAAGAGAGAGUGGGAAAAGAAUGCAAACGGAGGAGGAAGGAAAGAGGAGGAAAGGGGUUAGAGGGAAGGAGGUAAAGAGGAGGAAGGAAUGAAUGAGAUUGCGAGUGAGGAGGUAAUGGCGGCUUUAUAUUGUGCUGAAAAGUAUCAGGGCAAAUGGCAAUUGCGAAUAGAGGGAAAGGCUUCCAUGGGCUUUUUGCCCUUUUUCUUUUUCUUUUCUUUUUAUUUGUUUGAAAUGUUCUAACUUUAGAAUUUUGUUUUAUUUUUUAAUGACCCAUGUAACAAUUGGCAGUUAAAAAACUUGGAAGGCCGAUUUCACCUUACUUUUGAAGUGAUGGUAACUUUCCUUACCGUGGGAGUCAAAUUUGUACAUUAAUAACAAGAGUUCUACAAGUGAUGAAAUUUCUCUGUUCUCAUGCUUCAACUCAAACAAUCAACAUCCACAUGUCAUCAGCCCAUUUCGAUUGUUAUUUUUAGGAGUUUUGAUACAAAAAUAUACUGUAAUGAUUUAAUAUAUGUAAAGUAAAGAAGUAAUUAGAAAGCGUGUUUACGUGAAAUAUAAAAGAAUUUUUCUGUAAAAAACAGGAAUCCAAAUAAGGCAAAGUGAAGUGCUUAUUUAAAAUAAAAUUAGAGAUUGGUAACAAAGAAAGAAGCAAAAGUCAAGGGCACUCCUUGUUUUAUUAAUAACACCAUUCUUGACUUUUUUUACUUAUUUGAUAUGAUAAAGAAUGCUCGUACUCUUUAUUUCAAUUACAACUUAAUAAAAAAGAAUUGAUUGUAAUGCAAUUUAAUUUUUAUUCACAGGAUCAAAAGAGGCAUUAUUAAUGAAAAAAAAAAGGGAAUUCUAUUAACAUUCUUUAAGUAAAAAUAUUGAUUAAAAAUACAUAUUCAUGAAUUUACCUAAAAACUAUAAAACAAAAAAUCUAGAGAGAAAAAGACGUAGCCUUUGUCAUUAUUAUUAUUAUUAUUAUUAACAACUUCCCCCCAUUCCCUAUUCCUUCCCUACUCCAAACCUGCCAUCCAGGAGAUUGAAUCCUGGUAGGAGUUAGAGAAAGACGUAGCCUUCCUUUUUGUCUUCUUGUAAUUUUCACUUUUCUUUUUCACUUUUCUUUCUUGGGAAAGGGUAGGGUGAUAAUUUCAACUCCCAAAAUUGCUCCUUUUUACUCCCUCCCUUUUUUUAUUACUGACGUUUAAGAAAUUUGCUCUUAAGUACUUUUAUCUGUCGUUGUAUUAUCCCCAUGCAGCAUUAAUUAUUUUUUCACAAUUUUACCAUUUUAUCUCUCUUUACCAAUACAGGGCUCUUAAUUACUACUUCUAGUAAUUAUUACUUCUCUCUUUGCUUUUGGCCUAGUAAAACAGCACAAUUUAAUAUUCUAGUGAGAGAAAACAUAAGUGAAUUGGACAUUUAAUGAGGGUAUAAAAGGAAAGUAGUGUAUAGAUUUAAACAAUGAAAAAUUUUUCUUAAUUGAUGUGCAAAAUUUUAAACGUGAGUUAUAAAAAAAGGGAGGGAGUACUAAUUAUUCUUUUCUGUUUAAUUUUAUCUUGACACCUUUUAUUUUCUUUUAAUUUUGUUUUUCUUCUGUUUAUUUUUCACUUUUUUUGUUCUUCUGUUCUCUGUACUAGCAUUUCUUUAUCAUGCUUUUCAAAGUCCAGGGUUAGGAUGGUGGUCAAUGAAGAAUGUGGCCUGGGGGCCACCUGCAAACUUUGGGGAUCUAUGCGCCAUUGAAGCAGCAUUUAAGAAAAUUCGAGUCAUUUAUUUUAGAGUAGACCAAUGAAAUUGUUUUUUUUUUAAAAAAAAAAAGAAGAAGAAAAAAAAAACAUUUCGGUUGGUACUGCCUUGGAACUCAAAGGUAGGAAAAAGCUGUGUUUAGAAUUUAUGAAGAACGUGAGAGCAGUUACCAAUUAAUGCUGUUAAAUUAUUGAAAUAAUUGAGAGCAUUUACACGGCUCUGAACCCAACACCUAUUUAUUACCCACCAAAAUCAGUGCUGUAUUUUAAUCAAUCUGUUUCUGCCUUCUGCCACAAUGGCAUAAUCAAUUUUCACUUGUUUGCUGUUUUGUUGCAAAGUAGAGGUCUAAAUUAAAGUUAAUGAGGGUUGAUUAAUGAAUCUUUUGGUUUUACCAUAAACUUUGGCAAUCAAUUCUCUAAAGCCAUUUUUUAAUUAUUUAAAGGAUUAAUCUUUUCUGUCACGCUAACAUUUUCGAAUGUAUGUGAUAUAAAUUCAGUUUGAAUUUACAUUUCAUAUUUCAGUUUAAAUUCAGUUUCUGUCAUACUAGCUAUUAUACAAGGUGUCAGUACCCAAAAAAAAAAAACCUUCAUUUAAAUCAUGAAACAUUAAACUAUCGAGUAAAUCUUUCCUGCGCUGACGGCAUAUACAGUAUCAUCGUUCGAUUCAUGAUAUGUGUGCAAAAAUUAAAUUUCAAAUUCUGACAAAUUAUUGGUGUAAACCCAUAUUAGUGAAAUGUUAUUGUGUCAAACAUGUGAAAGAACUUGUAUGCAAUAAUGCAAUUAGUAUAUAUCUAUAUAUACUAAUGUUGUGUAUUGAAUUAUCUUUAUGAUGGUAAACAGCACAUCACCAAAUUAAUAUGUAAUAUAGUUAGGUAUAUAAAUGCAAUUUUCUACUUUGCUAGAUUUGGAGGGCAGGUCAAGGUAAAGCAAACCUGCUAUUUCUUUUUCCUCUUUCUUUUACAUACUUUGAAGAAAAAAUAGUUUGGCUGUUUGGUAACAAAACCAAACUAGCUGAAUUCAAUUAGUUUCCAAAAAUCGUGUGAUAUUAAAUUAGUUCCAUUAUCAUCCACUUAUCUUAUCUUAUUAGGUAGAAAGAAAAGAAAGGAAAACUAAAGAAUGGUCUUCAAAAUUUUGCCCCUUUUACCCACCUCAUCUACAUACAUUGUCUUGUAAUUAAGUAAUAAGUAUGUUUAGCUUUCCUUUGGAAACAAAAAAAAAAAAAAACUAAUUAAAAGACGGCAAGUGAUAAGAUCUUCCAUUAUAUUGUCCCCCAUGCAGGCAUUCCUUUUUUUUUUUUUUUUUUUUUUGCGCAAAGAUUAGCCUCAUCCAUUGUCCAAUGCCAUCUUCAUAUCUAGUCAUUUUGUUCUUGUCCUUUCUCCCUUUUUAUGCCAACAAAAUUUGCUACUGAAAAUUUCAAUGUAUCAUCCAUAGGAGAUAUGCCUAAAAACAUAGGAAUUAUUCAAUAAUAAAAAAGAUGAGGGUCCCCAUAACCGAAAAAAAAAAAAAGAUAGAGCAACAUUGAGAAAUGACAAUAAAGAGGAAAAAAAGACAAGGCAGAAAUUGUUGUCUCCAUUUAACACCAGCAAAUCCAUCAUCUAUUUUUAACUGCAUAACUAAAACUACCCCUCUUGAUCUUGAAGCUCAUGAAUGUUAUAGGACCCCACCAAUUGCACAUUCAAGUUACCUAAAGGCUGAAAGUCCAUAAUUUUUUGCCAAAUUAGACAUUCACACCACAACCACCUAAUUUUCUUAAAAGUUUUUUUUUUUUUGAUGUUUUGAAAGCCAAAGCCCAGGUUUGAGUACAAGAUCAUACAAGGAAUAACAUUAUAUUAUAGUACUCAUCAAAUUUAAUUCCCCUUACAAAAAUUUAGAAGGGGACAACUACAUUGAAGGAGCUGGCUGAGAUAUCCAUGGCAUCUUAGCCAAAAUCCUUGUUUCCAUGAGUAUUGACACUAAGCAUUCAUUUUACAAUUUUUAUUUCUCUAAGUAUGUUGAACAAGAAAGCACCAUGAAAGUCAAAGACAACAACAUUCUCACAAGAAUCAAAACUAGCCGCAUUCACCAAAUGAAUGCCAACUUGCAUUCUUCAUUUUUCCCCCCCUUCCCAAUUUUGAUCAAUUCAAAAGUGCUGAGUGGCUGUAGUGAUAACAUAAGAACACAAACUUUAGUCACAUCAGCGCAAAUUUAUGGUACGUGUAUAAAAGAUGGCCUAAGAUAUUGUCAAUAAUAAUGAAAGGGUAAAUUUUCGAUGCACCAUAACUGUAUACACAUGAGCGAACCGUUGUUACUGCAUAUAACAUAUUCUUAUUUUAAAUUUGAAAUUUAAUUUUUACACAUGUGACAUAUAUUUCAUGUUGCUAGUAUAAAAAAAUAUUGCAUUGACGGUGUAUAAAAACUUAAACCAUAAAAUGUACACGUAAUAUACACACGGAACUAAGAGUCAAAUCAAGCUAACACACAUUGGAGUGUGGAAGCAAAGGAUAUCCUUCCCGUUUUCCACACAGAAAAACGAAGAUAAAGUUUUGGCUUAUAGCGUUCACUUUCGGAAAGUUCUAAACAUUUGAAAAAGAUAAAGGGAAAAAGGGAACGAGCAUUGGGCAAAUGGCAUGCAGGAGAUGGGAAGAGAUAUGGUCAAAACCCUAAUAAAGAUAUCAUAAACUAACCAACUUGAAAAAAGUGAAAACGAAUCCUUUUAUUUCAAGAAAAGUCACCUAACAGCUAUGCCCCAUUUUUCAUGACCCCGUCAACCCUCCUGUAUAUCGUCAUCAUAACAAUCUAUCACCCUCUAAUUAAUCACCUAUUACCACAACAUCAAUCUCACCGCGCAAAAUAGAUUUAAAACUAAUCACUUCAUUAUGUUUGUGUAGUGUUGAGAUAUUCCUGGACCAUUACAUUUGAUUGCUAUGGAAGAAUGUAGGCCACUUCACAUCAUCACACAUGCUUUGACAUAAGCAGUUUGGUUGUGUCACCAGCCAUGUUUUGUUUUGUACCAACGGUUUCUUUCUUUUUGGAGCCAUCUAUUUCACAACAAAAAAUAACCAACUUAGGUUGUAUUUGAUAAAAUUGAAGUUUGAAAUUUGAAUCAGUUAAGUUGCUUAAUGGUUAAGUACUGAAAUAUUAUCGUUUUAGCGUAUUCUGCAUUAAGUGAUAAGUGAUCAGUUUAUCACUUACUGUUUUGAAUAAGUUUUACCUAAGUAAUUUAGAGUCACUUUACUGUUUUGAAUAAGUUUUACCUAAGCAAUUUAGAGUUACUUUAUUAAUUAAAGCGUUCUAGUUUUUGUUAUUAAACACAUAAAAUCUGAAUUCAUUAAAUUUAAAUUCUGAAUUGAGUUAUCAAAUUGGUUAGGCGAAGGCACUUUAUUCAAAAAAAUUUGGACAAUCUUGGGUGGUUUUUUAAAUUCUUUUUUUUUUUACCCCACAUUAAUAUUACUUGUUCACAUUUCGAUUCCUAACCCGUGUAGCCACCCCGUGAACUUAGACUUUUGCCAGGAGUAAAAAUUAAUACACAAAUGUAUUGUUUAAAUUAUCUGUCAUGGACACUUUGGAGAUAGGAAGGUUAUCUGGCUAUUUUUAGUUCAAUCAUUUUCUGUUGUUUCAUGCAAUUGAACCAAGAAAAUAAAGGUGAUGAAAAAUGGGACCAAGGUGAAAGACAAGAAAAAGACACCCCCAUAAAAUAUACAUGUUGCUUACGACUUACUAUGUUAGCCGUGUUACUUUGUUAGGUUUUGAGCUAUCCUUUUAAUUAUGUCAUGCUUUGAACAAACAAGAGUACGUAUUACUCCUUCCAACAUCGCAAGGUAAAAUAUUUCUUAGGUUGUACAAGAAUAUUUUUUUUUAAAGAAACACAAAAGUGAAAAAGGGCAUCGAGAAAAGGUCAGAAAGAUGAGACUAAACACUUUAAGAUUGAAAAUUAAUUGUUGACACAGUGCUUUAAUUUCAUUUGCUAUCGGUUGGAACAAAAAGUAUGUACUUAGCAAGUUUUUUAGAUUUUUAAUGCAAAAAAAAGGGAGCAUAAAACAAAGCAUAGUGCAAAAAUACAUUAUCCCUUAGCGUAGAUUAUCAUAAAAUACACAUUGCAUAUAAUUUAUGAAUAAUGGGAAAUGAAGAUGAAAGAGAAAAUAUGUUUCAUCAUAAGUUUAUUUUGCAGGAUCAGUAGAUCUAUGUAUCUAUUUAAUUCCCUUCAAUUUUUAGCUUUAAUUUUGUUUAUUUUAUAUAUGUUCCUUUGCUAAUUAUUGUAUUCUUAUGGUGUAGCUUAUCAAAAUAUGCUUCUCCUAGCUAGGCUUAGAGAAUUUUUACCAUUGAUCGAUUGAUCUUAAGAUGAAGAAAUAUAUAUUCCUCUGAACAAAGUUUAAGGAUUUUACUUACUUUAGAGUUCAAGAGAAAAAGGACAUGUUGAUUCUUUUGCUGUCAACCUGCAACAAUGGACCAUGUUAAUCCAAAAAAUACUACAACGUACGAACCCUAAAUUUGAUGCAUAACAAGACAUAUCCAUGAGGUAAUUGAUUCCAUAUUUCAUCCAAGUGAGACAAAUGCUCGCUACUCCAAAACAUGAGAGUAUAGGAAAGAUACUUCUACCCCUAAUUAAAAAUAGAAAAUACUACAAAUAUUGACUUCAUCCCAUAUAUAUAGUAAAUUAGUAUGUUAAUCAAAAUUUGAUGUUUACCUAAAAAGAAAAAUAGAAUAUUCGAAAUCUAGAUAAAAGGGGAAAGAUCCUUUUAGACUCCUUUUCCUUGGUAUUCAUAGACAAAAUAAAUACACAUGUGUAUGUAUAUAUAGUCUUCCAAAUUAAUUCUGAUAUAUAUAUAUAUUACUCCCUCUGUCCCAUUUUAUUAGUCGUCAGGGUUUAUAAGGGAAAUGAAAAUAGACCACCUCUCCAUUUUACCCUUCAUUAAUUCUAUCUCCAAAAAGAGCGUUAAAGUUAUGUUUUAACGUUAAAUGCUCUAACUAACUAAUAUAAAAUUCAAAAAUUAAAAAACAACUAAUAACAUUUAAAUUUAAAUUAAUGGAUAAUCAUGGAAAAAGUUAUUUAAUAGUUGGUCAAAAAUUAUUAAAUUUCUUAAACUGCGUGCAAAGUUGAUCACAAUAAGCAAAAUUAAUGCAACGGAGGGAAUACUACUAUAAUUAAGCCUCUAGUAUUUCUACGCUUAUCAAGAAUGAGCAAUUGUUAGGCACUUUUGUGAGUCAAUGGUAUAGGCGCAGCCUAGGAACAAGAAUACAUGUAUUCCGUCUUCCGGUAAGAAUUUCUUUGCUAUAACUCAGCCAAAUUCGUCCCUGUACCAGUAAACUUAAGUUGACAAAGAAAACACUGGCAUGAGAAGAAUCUCCUCAAAAGAUUUUUUCCACAAAGCAUGGACCCGACUAAUAUCAGAAACAUUGUCAAGAAAACGAAAAAGCAAAAGAAAAAGCCAGGAGAGCGUGUGGUAGGAAUUCAUGAUGGGAAAAGAUAGUCACAGGAGUACAUAUCAGCAGGAAUUUUAUGAAGGGAAAUUUAAGUAAACUUGAUGUUUGAUACAGAAGAAUAAUCAAUCAUCUAGCAAAUUAAUAGUUACCCAAGCAGUGAUAUUAAUUAUUUACCAAUAAGAACUUAGUUCAGCAGUUAAAAAUGGAGCACUGCUGAUAUCAAUAGUGAAAAGUUCCAAGUUAAAAAUCUCACCCUCUAACCUAUAGUGAUCAAAUUAAGUUGAAGAAAUUAGAAAGAAACAGCAAAAUCAUUACUAACAUAUGAUAAUGAAUUAAAAAUGUUCCCAUAACUUUCCCAUAUGAUAAAGUAUUGUGUUUGUAUUGCAUUUUUCGUCAUCUUUUAUAGAAAAAUUACUGUAGCGAUUUGAACUAUGUGAAGAAAAAAGGUGAUAGGGAACAAAAAAUUUCGAUAUGCCAUGCACUAAAAAUUUCCCAGAUGCAACAAAAAAAAACACAUAUAUAUAUAUAUAUAUAAAUACUAUUAUUUUAAAUUUUUUGGUACCAUAGACUAAGAGCACACGAUAAACACACAAAGAAAAGAUGAGCUCACUUUAACAACUCAUCGCUCAUCGUUUUUCAUCAACAAGGAAAAAUGUUUUUCUUGCCGAAAAAUUGACGGCGGAUCCAAUUUAAUUCUGCAUGCUUAUUGCUAACGGGCAAUACAAGUAAAGACUUAGGUUGAAUGUUAAGAUAAGAGAGAUUGUAGUAAAUAGAUGAUCUUGAGCUGAAAACUUCUCACUUACUUAAAAAAAAAAAAAAAGAAAAGGAGAAGAGGAGGAGGAUAGAAGAAUAGAUGAACUCUUGUUUUAGGCGUGUGAGCUUAACGUUAAUGGAUAAUAUAAACCAAGACCGAUCCCAGAAUUUCAAAGAUUGCAUGCAUAAUGCGCGAGCAUAAACUAUUCCUAGUGGAUGAGGUCAGGAGUUUGGUGGAGAGGAGGCUAAGGGAAGUUGACUGAACUUGCUGGAGGAGGGCGGAGGGAAGGGGAACGAGCACCAGAAUCAUCACACGUGUUGCUGAGUCUGUAGCUUCAUCUACGCCUGCCGUUGCGGCGCUUUGAUGUAAUCGUCGUGGUCGAUGAGGAUUAUGCAGCUCUUUUCUUUCUCUCCCCCACCCCCACAAGUCAUAAUCACAUUUCUGCACCACUCUAUGCCUAUAUGGAUGGAUCAACCUACUCCUAAGUCCUACCAACGGUUAACGGCCAAUUUAGAGAUCUGUUCACUUAACAACGUUUGCAAGGAAUAAAUAAACAACAAGAGGAGUGAGUCUUGACAAAGCAUAAAAACUUGCACCAACAAUUGAUUCUAUUGGUCUCCAUCCGUCCCAUGGAUAUGUCUUUCUUUUUUCCCCAGAAGGCAAAGAACACACACACCCAUACAAUUUAGAACGACGCACAAGGCAUCGAGAAAUCGGCCCGAAAGCAAUCUAAGGGAGAUCCACAAGGAAACUCUAUUCAGCCAAUUGGCUUUCUUCUCUCUUUUUGCAUUUGUAGUAAAGUCUCUCGUAAGAUUUUGAAGGGUUUCGUCUCUCGUAGGGUUUCUUAGUGAAACUUUUUUCCGCUAGUACGAUUUUCUAGUAAGAGUUUCCUUUCUCUUGAUAUUUCUUAAUAAGGAUUUUUUCAUUGGUUCUUUUUGUUUUGUUGUUAGAUAUCAGUAUUCCAGAUUUGGUAGUCAGAUUUGAGAUUCAUCCGAUCUAUCUCAACAGAUCUCACCAUUAAUAUUAGAAUUUGAAGUAGUUAGUUAGCAGAUCUAGCAAUUGAAGCAUACACAGACGUUGUAAAGGCUACAAAUAUUAUAUCUGAUCUUUAGUACUAUAGAAACUUUAUGGUAUAAAUUUUAUCAAAUUCUUAGAUAUGUUCCAAAAUAUUUGUCAUCUUACUAAAGUUAAAGUUGCUUUUGAUCUUUUUUAAUUUUAUUCUGAUUUUUAUCUAUAUUUUAUACUAAAUUCAUAUUUAAAAUUUAAAUUUUUUAGGAUAAUUUUGAAAAUAAAUCCUAAAAUGCAACAAACAUUUAUGGACGGAGGGAGCAGGAAGUAGCAUUGAAUUGGUUUAUUCAAUGACGCCUUCACUUAGUGGUCAAUGUUGAAAUAACAGAAGUUAAAUGAGCUCGGGGUUAUUGACUCAACAUUCCCUAAAUUUGAAUUUUUUUUUCUCUCACUAUUUAUGACUCGUGAAUUUAUUUGUUUUAUUAUUAAAUUGUACAUUCCAUUGUCAGUAGGGUAGUUUGUACUCCCCGCUUUUUCUUUCUAUAAUCAUAUAAAAAACAACAAAGGCAAAAAAAAAAAAGAAAAGAAAGAAAAUUGUUGAGUUGGUGUACCAAAAUUAAUACUCUAUCGAAAUCCAUUCGUUAGCUUCUGGUCCAGUACUAGUACUAGACUAGUAACUACUGCUGGGCCCCACGUUUGCUAAACCUCCAAAGUUGACCCACGCAUCAGUUGUACGUGGCUGACACAUAAGAUCUGACGGUACAACCGCUGACGCUUCUUUGUAGGCAACGGCCAGACAGAAUUAAGGGUAGAGGUCGGAUGAAUAAAAUUCAUUGUGGAACAAAUUUUUCAACAAAUGAUAAAAUUCAUUAAAAUUUGCGUGUUAUUGUUUUAGUGUCUCUAUUUGUUAUUUUAGUAUUAUGCGAGUAGAGAACAUCACUUACAACACAAAAAAGGGUAGAGGGACGAGUUUUAGAGAAAAGUUAUUUUCUGGAUAAAAGAAGGGAGAGUAUUUACAAUGGUAGUGAGACAUAUGGAUUCACCGAUACCCGAGUCGAUUUUAUGGUAUAGGUAACCACCAUAGAUCGACUAUAUAGAAAUAAAAGUGAUUUUUUUAUGACAUAAAUAGCGGCGAUAGGUCGAUUACAUUGGAAUAUGAGUGUCGGAUAGGCUGUUGAAAGCUGAACGAGGGUUGUAAGUCGUCACACCCACAUUGGUAUGUGAGUAGGGGUGGUAAUGGGGCGGGUGACACCUCCCCCAACCCCCGCCCCAUUGCAUUUUAAUUCCCCCCGCCCCAUCCUGCUUCUCCCGCGGGAGCAUCCAUGGGCUAAAAAAAAUUUAAUAUAUAAUUUUAUUAUAAUUAAAUUUGAGCAAAUAAUUAAGUAUUAAAAUAUCAACACAUCACUAAAUUAUUAUUCAUUGUAACUUCAUAAUUGAAACUUAUAAAAAUAAUUAAAUAAAGGUUAUUUAAAUAUAAUCUAAUAUGAUAAAAUAAAUAUAACUAAAAUAAUCAAAUUUUCACUUUUGAUACAAAUACAAUCACUAAAUUAUUAUUGUGUUUUUUUUUAGAAAAAAGUGUUAUUGUAUUAAGUGUAGCGAGGAAUUUAACAUAAAUGUAUUAAUAAAUAUAUUAUAAAUAAUUAAUAAUUUUUAUUAAUAGACAUAUAUAAUUAGUAAUAUAAUUGAUAAUAUCAUUAUAUAUAUAUAAUUAUGUACACAUAUAUAUAUUUUUUCAAACGGGUGGUGGGGCGGGGAAGUAUACCCCCGUCCCCCCGCCCCGCUUCUAAUUGGGGGGAAAAAAUUCCCCCCACCCCCGCCCCAACGACCUCCCGCGGGGCGGGUGCUCGCUCCUGUUGCCAUCCCUAUAUGUGAGAGCUUCUUAAUUAGUUUGUUCAGCCAGUGUAAAGAAGAUCCGAAACCCAGAAAGAAAGCCAAUUCGAGAAGGAUGAUCGGAUCCCGCAAGUAUUGAUACAUGAUACAAUUAUGACUAAGAAGCCCCAAAUCUCCAACAAUCAACCGCCAACUAUAUACCACACACACUAAACUCAACCUCAAGGAAACCUUUUCAAAUUUAAUGGUUAUUUAAGUAUGAUAAAAAUGUGCAAGAUUUAUCAUCUCAUUUGCUUCUAGGCAAUGCUUGGAUGGAAGGAAAGAUGGGGAAAGAACACCACUGAAGAAGAAAAGUAAAAGAAUGGUAGACGUGCUGCUUGGACUAAGGAAGGAAAAGUUCAAGUGCUAGUUAACUAGCUCGCAAGGAAAGAAAAAGACUAUCUCAAAAUAAUUUAAAUCACUUCAUUUGAUACGGCUUUUUCCAUUUGUUUAUGCCCCAUUUUGGAAACGAAAUCAAAUAUGAUUGAUUAAAAAAAAAAAAUCAACGGCGCUGUUUGGUUAAUAUGAUUUGCAAAAAAAAAAAAAAAAUUCCAUUCAACUCACAUCAUAAAUACAAGUUUCAAUAAUCAUUUUAUCUCACAUAUAUUACAUCACAAAAAAUAUAGUAUUAUGUUAUUUUCAAAUAAUUUUAGUAAUUCCUCUCCAUUUCUUCCCCCCCCCCCUCCCCAAAUUCCUUCAAUCCAAAUGGUGACUUCAGACUUUUUGUUUUGUUCUAUAUUCAACAAUUCAAGCAAUCUUCACAACAAGAACGACAUUAUCCAAAAAAGAAAAUUCCAAUCCACAAGCUCUAAUAGCAUGGAAAAUAGUUAAUACGUAAUUAUCAAAAUCCUUUGGGUUUGAUUUGGUGGGAUCCACAAGGAUGGAAGAGUGAAGGAUUCGAAAACGAGACGUGGACUAUGCACUUGAUGAUUUCCACGCUUCCACCAACCCCCCUACGAUGCGUCAUAAUUCUCCCCUCCCGCCCCCUACCUCUCCUUCAUAAUAGUUAACGACCAAGUAAUCUUAUACUAAUAAUAAUAAUUAAAAUAUCGUCAUUUUAUUAGGCUGUACCUGUACGUACUUAGCAUAUACUCUAUCUCUUGCUGGUUUAUAUGUGGCCCAAUAGGAAUUAUUGAACACUUAAAAAAACUUUUCUUGAAAUAGAUGUGUCAUUUUGCAAACUAACUAGCUUCUUCUUGAGUACUAAUAUAGCAAUUUUAUAACAAGACUCUACAUUUUAAAAAUGUUCUGGAUUAGGAAUACAAAAAAUUCAACCCUAUCCAUCUCUUAAGACGAAUAGAUAUUUUGGGGGUUAGUUACACCUAAAAUUUCCUAAGUUUUUAACAAGUAUAUUUUAGAUUUGGGCUUUUAUGGCUCAAAUUCAAAGCUUAAUGUUCGUUGCUUACUAGGUAUUUACUAAUGAGUAUCUUGAAUAGGUCUCAAGUAUUAAUUUUUUUCAGUAAAGGUGAAACUAUUUUGAAAAAGCGUUCGAACUGCAAGGAAUAGGAAUGUAAUAAAUGUAAGUGUGUGUAUUCGCAUGAUAAUUAAUUAAGUAGUAUAAUUUAGAUGCACUAACGACAGUUUUCGGCGCAUCUGUUAGAAAAAUUCGUUGUAUAAUAAUACCUUAGGGUUAGCUUCAAGAAAUUGGUUGUCCAAAAAUAGCAAACAGUACAAAACUAAAAUAAGGACAAUGGAAAUUAAAUUGCAUGUGCAAGAUCCAACUGUUAAGCAACCAACUGUGGUCACUCAAAUCUUAACAUGCAACCAACUUCUUUCGUCUUCGUCUUCCUAUUAUAAUAGAUUAGGGCUCUCAUGCCUAGCUUAAUGUAUCACUACAAUUAGAUUGAAUAAGUCUCAUUUGACAAAAUGCAGGCAUGCUUUUGAAUGUAAUUAGUCAUCACACUCUAGAUUUGGCCGGCUUAAUUGGCCAAGAAACAUGCACAUCUAGAUAUUCAAACAUGAGAUCCAAUAAUGCUCGUCUUAAGCAGAUGUGGCAAUGACUCGACUAUGACUUGGAUUAGCUCUUUUUCUAAGUCAUCAGUCCAAACCUUCAAACUUUUCGUUAUUGACUUUCAGGGUGAUGCCCCAAAACUCCUGCCAAUUCCAGUUCUAUUACUCCAUAGCAGUCAACUGAAAAAGAAUGUGAUAGUAUAAAUAAAAGAAGAAUCAGAGAUGAUAGUGUUAAAUUCUGGUGGUCACCUGUGUUUGCCUAAGAUGGAGGGUCACUGACAUGCCGGCUGGCGACUCAUUGCUCUCUCGUCUCCCACACACUGCAGGCAUGAUUUAACCAACAUUAAAGCCACUCCUUUCGCAAGUUGACAAGUGAGUUUGGUUUGGACUUUGGACUAGGCAAGGUAGUAACAAGUCACGCAUUAUCAGGAGCAAAUUUUCUUGAUGGAAUCUAGAAGCUGACGGCAUGCAUGAAAGUGAAUGAAUGAAGAAGAUGGAAUCCAUGAGCAUGAAAUUCUCUUGAAUUUACUUUUUCCAUUUCAGGGGUACGUUGAGCCGAGCUUUUUGAAAGUUCAGCAAAAUGAUGGAUGACGUUGCUACCAAAAUUAUUUCAUUGACUACAAGAACAACAUUUUCAUGUGGUAGCUAGGGCUGUUUCUUGUUAAGGAACAGCAAGGGAGAUAUAUUUAAAUCCAAAAUUCAAAAAACACACACAAGCCAGCCCAAAUCAAUCCACAUCUCACCGUAAUUGAAGGUGUUUAUUGUGUAGAUUUGCUUUUGCUUUUGACUUCAAAAUAUCGAGCAUGUUCCGAUCGAAGAUUAUUCGAAAAUAUUUUUUUUAUUGACAGUGUGUUUGGUGAUGUUAUGAUGUAUGUAAGACAAAUAAUCGAUAAAAUACAAAAUGUGACCGGAAAAUAUGUACGGAGAAUAUCGAGGAAUUAUUUGUGCAAAAAUAGGCAUUUUAAUCAUUUUGUUUUGUUAUGUUGUAUGCAGUAUGCUUCAUUAAUUUGGACAUCAACAAAACAGAAGAAGAAUGUCUCUUUAGCUAAAGUUGUUCACUCAAAAAAAUCUCUUAUCUAAGUUGCCUUUCUCAAAUUUUCAUGUAAAAGUAGCGCUAAAAACCUCGCCUUUGAAGGGUCUUGCAACAUCUUUCUUUAGAGAUAAAAUCCUCUCUUUUAUUUGGAUCUUUGAUAGUCCCUCCAACAGUUGUUUAUUUGCUUGCUCAAACAAAAAUCAAGUAUCCUUGCUAGCUAUAAAUAUUACAAUUUGCAUUACCCUCUAGUCAUAGAGUAAUUAAUUUGCAUAUCUGAAUUUUCAACAAUUCAACUAAGGUCCAAUAAACUUUAAUAUUCACAUUUAAUUAAUUUGCACCAGGAAAGUAGAACCAGGCAGCUUAGAGUUUUCACUUAAAUGGCAAGUAUGAUUUGUAUUUUUCUGAAACUAUUUAUGAUUUUAUUCUAAAAGCGAAUAGGGAUGUGAAAUCGAUCAAAUCAUAUCAUUUACAUCCCCAUCGGGAGGCAGUUUACCAGCACCACAGACCUGCUGCUAUGGUGGAUCACAAAUAAUAUAGUACGUGCAAAUACCUGAGUUGAUUGAAGGGAAUUUAAUGGUAGCAGAAGUGGGGUAACCUAUCGCUUUACCUGUCCCAAAAUGCAUGUUCUUAUCUUUCUUUUCUAGGCAGGUUUUAGUGGAGCAUUCAACAAAAUGGUCGAGGUUGUAGAGAAUUGCUUGAACUUGAAGCAAAAGAAUUUAAAGUUAGAUGCUAAAACGUGAUAAAAAUAAAAUUUCAAUAUAUAGAUAAAAUUACAAAAAGAUACAUUAAUUAUUUUUAUAACAAGAAUGAAUUAAAUAUAUAGCAGAGAUGAGUUGAAGAGGUGAUUUUUGGACGAUCAAACCGAGCUAACCUAAUACGUCAUCUUCCUUAGCGAAGUGACUUUGUGAUGUACUCUUCCUAAUACACACAUUAGACGGGGCUUUUUUCCCCUGGAAUAACUUCGAUGAUUAAAUUUAGUUUUCCGGUAAAUGGGUAAUGGGAAUGGAAACAAUAGAGUUCUUACUUUCGUUCCCCCUUUUUCUGAAUGAGGAAGAGUGGUAUUUAUAGGGGACAAAUUGGAGGAAGGAAUAAUAGGCUCCAACUCCUUAGGACCUGGUAGGGACUGAGCGUGUCCAGUCUGAUUUGACAGAACGGAGUAAUAGACAGGUCCCAUCAGAUGUCUUGUCCGUCAUACAAGUGUCAGGUUCUCCGAUAAGACCUUGGAUGUCGUGUCAAGCACAGUACCAAUCCGAGGUACCAGUGGGUGUGGGAGUCACCUCGGUUACCCGCACGCGAAGUCAAGCCGAAGUAACCAAAAUUGGUGGUGACCCGUCCCAAAUAAUAAAGGAUCAAGCUCGGUAUGGCCAAGUCGGGAUGGCCAUCCUCAUGAGUCAUAUGGAAAAGGAACAAAAUUACUUCAGAGAAUUGAAUACAGUGUUGUGUUUGGAUUGAGGGAUUUGACGAAGAAUCUGAAAUCCUCUCAAACCCGUCUAAUUGUUUAGAUUAUUUACAAGGCAUUUAGAUUUGUAAGUCACCAAUUAUUUUAGUAUUUAAAAUAUAUUUAGAUUAUUGGCAAAUUAUAAUCCCAAAUGCUUCUUAAACAAUUGAAACAGCUAUAGCGACUUGGGUGAAUUUCAAAUCCUUUGACAAAUUCUUCAAUCCAAACUAAGCCGAAUUAUUCAUUUGCUAUCCUCUUCUUUAAAGAGUUCCUAAAUACAAAAAAGAGAACAACUAAAUUAUCUAUUUUUUUAUGUAAAUGUGAUACAAAGGUAUCUCAUGGACAAGUAUUACAAUUAGUUCUUUCAUUAACACUUCGUCUCUUCUUACAGAAAUAUAAUUCAUUUUGAAAGUAUUUUAAGUGAGAAACAACAUAAGUUUAAGAUUAGAAGGAUUUUUGCAUUCUCUUUUAACAAAUGGUGGACCCUGAAAAGUUAAUCGAAAAGCUAAUCAAGGACCAAACCAGUGGGGAAAAAUGAGGAUUGGUCAUGAUUAUCUGAGGGAUAAAUGUUUGAAACUUUUCAAAAGCAGUUUGUCGGAGGGAAAAGGAAGGUUGGGGGGGACGGAAGUUGUGAAAAACAUUAAAGAUUGUAGUCUCCUACUUCAAGAAACUGCUGCUAUUAAAGUAGGGUGCCGGUGGUUUAUUUUGCUCGACAACAUUUGGGACAUCAUUCUUUUAGGACCCAAACCCCAUUAUUUUAUUGCUCAGAUGAAACCACGUUGUAGAGAGAAAGCCAUUUUGCAUAAUCUCAUGAUCAAACCAUCCAACCACCAACAGACCCUUCAUUUUUUUUAGUGCACACGUCAUAUUUGGUGGUCAAGAAUUCAAAAUUUUGCAUUUCAUCUAAAAAACAGGCCACUCAAUAUGAAAAUCUAAAAUAUAGUAGUGUAUCAUACGUACUUCCUAAUUUUCCUUUUUCCUAGUUUAAUUAUAUGGUAGCUUUUGUCUAUACAGACCAUUGUAUUGUAUUGUAUUGGUGCAUGUCAUGUGUGGAAAUAUGACCGGGCAAUUUGAAAAUCCCGUACUUAGAGAUGUAAACGAACCGAAACGAAUCGAGUAUCUCAUGUUUGAGCUCUGUUCGUUAAGCGACUCGAACUCCGUUCGUAUUCGUUCGUUAAUUUUCGAACUCUAAACCUGUGUUCGUGUUCGGCUCGUUAAGUAAAGUUCGUGUUCGUGUUCGGCUCGUUUAACAUAAACGAGCCGUUCGCGAACACGCUCAAAAAGUUCGAAUCCAGACUAUUCUAGGCCUUAAAUAUGCCACACAAAUCAUUAAUCAUCCUAAAAAAUAAUUAAAAUACUAAAUGACUAAAUUCCAUUAUUCAAUAACUGCAUAACCAACAUUAACAUAAAAACAACAAAUAAAACAAAGUAAUUUGUCCUUCAAAUAUAAAAAUUCAGACAUAAGACAAGUACAAAUUUGUUCGCGAACACUCGUUAAAAUUCGCGAACAUGUUCGUGUUCGCUCGAUUAUUAAACGAACACAAAAAUUCGUUCGUGUUCGUUCGUUUAAGGCUUUCGAACGAGCCUUUAACGAACACGAACGAGGCGAAACGAACCGAACUAACGAACAGCUCGGUUCGUUUAACAGCUCUACCCGUACUAAACGACAUACGAAAAAAUUAUUGAAAGUAAAAUAUCAAGGAACAAUCAUACAUGCAUGGACUUAAUGGACAAAAAGAAUUAAGAUAAAUCCAAGAACAGGGACGAAGAUCCUCCUAAUCAUCCUAAUUAAUUAUAUACAUCAUGACAAAUUUUAACGACUGUUUGCUUUCCAUGAGAAUUCUGAGUCGUUGAAGGUUUAAGCAUCGGAAAAGGUGAUCGUGAUAUUACCACAAAGUGUUUAAUCAAACAAGAAUACUUUUUUAACAUUUGAACGCCUAGAAUAUUAUUUGUAAGUUUCUAGGCUAUUUCACUGCUUAAGAUCGAUUUUGGAUAAAAAAGGUGAUCAUCAAGCAAAAGAAAACGAACACAGGCGAUCGUCAAUUCGUUAGUAGAAGUUUCCACACGUUCACAUAGGCAAAGGCUUAAAGCGACCAACUGAAUACCAACGGUUCAUGCACACAUCAACUUAUUAGACAGCGGUCCGGCAAGCAUCAACUAUCAACUUAUGUGGUUGUUUCUUGAAAAGGACCUACUGAGUAAUUAACUUUUGAUUUUCUCAAUUGAACCCCUAAAGAAUUGAAUGUUGCUCCUUUCUAGUUCUAACCAGUCUUGCCUGCACCCAUAGUGGAAGGACUUCAUUAUGAACUAAUGUCAUUCUCCUCCUUUCUCUUCUGGGUGAUGAUCCAUCUAAUUUCAAUUCCUCGUAUUAUUAAUCGUUUGCAGCAACCCUAAAAGACGGCAAACUCGCAAUCAACUUCUUUCCAAAUUCACUCCAGUAAAAAUUGUAAACUCAUCUACUGAUGGAGUAGUAAUUAUCUGAGGAAAAAAAAAGAGUGGAGUAGUUAUCUCUGUGAUGAAAUGAAAUAAUCUAAAUAGUUGUAGGUGUUUCUUUUUCGAUUUCUUGUUGUUUUGUCAAAAAUAGUUGUUGUCACUUGAUAACUAAUUAUACGUGUUUAAUUGUCAAUCCAUUCAGUGAUAUAAACUUGAAAAUUUUUCGUGGUAUCAAAACUUGCUAAAUUUUUUGAAGAAACCUACCGCUCUAAGCAAUUAAUUAUAAACUAAAUCGAACGUCGUUCAAUCGGUUAACUCUCAUUUUCCAUUGUUUUCCUAGUCACAUCACAGCCACUUUUUCAAUACUUGAAGGACCAUAUUGCAACAACCCAAUGACGGUGAAGUGCUAAGAUGGGUGAAAACACCUGGUUUAGUUUCUUAUCGUACAAGUAUAUUGAAAAUGAGGACCUGAAUUGACAAUUUGAUAAAAUGGAACCCCCCCGGCUGGAAAUUAGGAGAAUGGGACUUUUGGAAGCUUGUCCUUUAGUGCGGACACGGAACACGAAACACGAGAGCGAGGACCAGGACACGGUUAUUGUCCGUUAUAAGCAGUUUGCCACGUUAGGGACACGUGCUUUUCAUACUUGUCGUCACCCCCACCUUGACCGUUGACCGUUUUAUCCGUACAGCGUUUUUGGUUUUUGGUGGUCCCGCGUUCUCGUUUUCUAUAGUGGUAGCAUUUUUUCUCCAAUCUUCCUUGGCCAACUUCUCUUCUGCCGACAAAUUUCUUUUAUUAUUCUUUUUAUUAUCUUAAACAUUAAGCCCAAGGUUUUUCACUCCCGUAAGUAGAAUUGAACGAUGAAUCAAAUUAUUCCAUACUCGGAUUCAGUUUGAUUUUGAUAAAAUCUCGUUCGAACUUAAUUAAUUCACCAACUAUCAAAUUCGAUAAAAUGUUCGUUUAAAUUUGAUUCGGUAAAUAAAUAAAUUUAAACUCAUUAAAAUAAUCAAACAAAUUUGAAUACUACUAGAGUGUUCGGCUUGAUUAGGGCCAUUUACAUCUCUACGUAAGAGAUACAAUUGUGUGUCAUAUUAAAUUUAUUUCUUUGAAAUAAAUAACAUAUUUCUGAUUGCUUCUGGAUGUAAAGUUCCGUUCUUUUCUUAAGCAAGUAAAGUUUGGUCCUUAAUUUAAUUUGUUCAACAAUAAUUAAUAGCAAACAUAACCGGGGAAGGAAUGAGUUGGUUUGGGGGAGGGACAGCAAGUGUGAAAUUUUGAAUUCGAGCUCUUUCAUUUAUGCAAAAAAAAAAAAAAAAAAAAAAAACCAUUUGAAUUGCAAACAUAACCAAUUUUUCAAAUUGAAGUCGGCAAAAGUUAGUGGCCCGGCCGGGAAAAGAGGUCCUUAUUAUAGAUUGGAAAAAAGAACGGACAGUCAAAAACUCCAAAAUGAUCCGUAGCCAAUAUGGUAACGUAUUUCUGUGUUGUUUUUGUCUCUAAAUUGUCGACGGCAGUUUAUGGGGUGACGUUAACAGUGUUACUUUCGGCUAUUUAGGAUAAUUGAUUCCUGGAAGAUUCUUCAAAUCCUUUUUUCUUUUUUUUUUUUGUUUCAAGAUUAGAUAGGUGGCAGGGGAAAUUUUGGAGCUAUUGAAGAUUUGAAUUCAAGGAUAGUCAAAGGGCAAUCGAACCAUUUGAACAACUCCAGCUUAAUAACCAAACUUCUUUAUCUCGUUUGCUUCAGAAGUCUUGAGAAAAUUCAUUCCAUUGAAUUUCUUUUUCUUUUUUUUUUUCCUCGCAUCCCUCCCCAAAUCCGUCCCAACCCCAACCGACAAGUUAGGAUUUGAACAUUGAACCUAGCAGCAGAAGAGAUCUUUAACAGUCCUCCCCUGACUAUUAAUUGGAAGUUCCAUUGAAGUUCAUGUGGAUGUUAGUUGUUGUAGAAUUAAUUAGCCGUAAAGAAUGGGAUUUCAAGAAUAUAGUAGGAUGAAAAUUACAACCAAAGGAUAUGGUCACUUUGAUAGUCCUGUUUUUUUUUUUUUUUCCACACAGUUUAAGAAAAAAUAGUUAAUUUUGUUGAAAAAGUAAAUUUAGAUUGCUAUUUUCCUAAAAUACCCUCACAUUAAAUAUGGUACAACUUUAUGGAAACUUGAAUUGAUGGUAAAAAAAGAAUCAACUCUCAUUAAAUGGGGGUAGGUUUAUAGUAACAACUACUUACAUUGAAUAAGGGUAUUUUAGGAAAAUUAAAAUACAACUACAUUCUUCAAUUGGAAAGUGGACUACAAUUUGGGACAAAUGAAAAAAAGAAUACAGGACUAUCAAAGUGGGACGGAGGGAGCAAUUUUUUUUUAUUCUAAAUAUAUAUUUUCUAUUAUUUGCUUUUUCCUAAAAUAUGCACGCACCCACAUUACAAUAUUACAUUACAUUACACACAGUGAUUGCCCCACCCACUAGUUGCAAGAAGGUGUCAGGGUAAUGUUUACACCAAAAUAAUUGCAUACACACAAGUGCUUUAUUAUUGUAGAGACAUAUGCAUGUGUGCGCGUGUGGCGCCAUGGCAGCAGAAGUAUGUAUAGAUGCAGUAAUAAAAGACUUGCCCUGACAGAAGUGAUGCAUAUAACCCUAAUUUUUAUGCUUGCAUGGCAGAACUGAAUAUUUACUUCAAACAAUAUUCGUCGUUUCAGUUUUUUUUUUUUUUUUUUUUUUUAAAUGAAAAAUCAGCAGGUCGACUGUGGAGUGGCGACUGCUCCCACAUUUUUCCAAAUCCUUGUACUGUUAAACGUCGUGCAAGGAGCUCAACUUGGAUUCUAUACAUGAAAAGAGAAUGCACGUGGCAGGGUAAAACAAAAUAGAAUAAAGACAUUAAACCCAACAAAAACAAAAGUCCCCCAGUCACGAGCACCGUGAUUAUUUGCAUCGGACAAAAAAAAGUAGUGUAUCUUAUCUAUCUGAUUGUAUUUCCAGGACCUGAAAGAAGAUUGCUUAGUCAAAAUCCACAUAUACAUACAUAUAUAUAUAUAAAUGAAUGGGUGAUGGAUGAAAGUUCAAUGUACCAGAAUCUAGCUACGUACAAUCUCGUAGAAAAAUUUCAAUCUUCUUGACCUUGUCAUAGCUAGAAAAGUUUGAAUCUUCUUGAAAUGCCCUUCUUUUAUGACUUGUCGAAUAAGAGCAGUCAUGUAGGAUAGAUGGCAAGAAGCAACAUGACUAAAUUGACUAGCAAUAGUGUAUGCGUCCUCAAUUCCAUCUGAUGGAACAUACAUAUUAUCAACAAAAAAAAAAAACGUCUGAUUUUUUCUUCAUCAAGUGAUUUCUUGAGCUGUGCGCUACGAUGGAUUGGAAUUUCAGAAAGCAUCAUCGUUUGCCUCAAGGUUGUCGGAAAAAAAUAUUUCUUAACUUAAGCUAGCUAGCUACACUUGGCGUAAUAAGAAUGCAAAUUAGGCAGAUGAUGAUAUCUAAUGAGAAAUCGUAUUGUCAAGAAAUGGGAAUAGGUUUCAAUUACUUAAACAAUUCAGGCAUGACGUGCCAAGAUCCUAACAUCAUCAACUCGAGUUGAGGGGUGGUCCAAUCAACUCAACUGGGACUGACUGAUACCUAUUUAAUUUGUGCGAUUUUUCAACUUCCCUCUUGAGGGUCUAACAUGAAUAAUCCGAAGACCAAGUCUUGGGGUGGUCCUGAGCAAACUCAGAGUGCUCUAUUAGAGGUUCACCACAUGGAGUGAAAAAGUACGUUAGAUUGGUUGGAUUGUCUUCUUUUUUUUUUUUCUCUACAAAAGUUUUAGGUUUUUUCGUGAACAUAUAUUCCAAUUAUCUUUGCAUCUCACAUAUAUCACAUCAUUACAGCAUAUUUUUCUACAAAAAAAAUAACAAUCCGAGCGAGAAAGUUUUUUAGAAAGGAGAAGUCAUGCAUAGCCUGAAACUGUCCAUUUUUAAUCUUUUGUGCAGUAUAUAUAUAUAUAUAUAUAUCAACGUAAACAUUUUUUUUACGCUAACAGAUAUAGAUGCAUACCACUUUGCGUAACGAGUGUAUUUCAAAACUUAAAUAACGAUAAUAUGACAUGUAUUAAAACCCGCUAGUAUAGUGAAAUUCUUAAACUCACAGUAUAAAAAAGUUUGAUCCUUUUAUAUAUAUAUGUGUAGAUUAUGUCAAGAAUAAAUACAAGCAUAUGCUCUUAUUUACAGCAGAAAUUCAGACACUUACAAGAUUUUUAUUAAAAGGAAGUGAGCUGGUUAGAGCUGAUUACCCCAAAAUUUCUCGUUGGGAUCUUGGGGCUGUCAUUAUUUUAUUCAUGAAAGGACCAAUAGUCGACUGUACUAACAUGGAAAAGUAUAUCUGCAUAACCACGUUACUACUACUUCGACAACAAGAUUAACGGUGAUUCUAGAAGUGCAUGAGCGGAGGCUUUUUCUCGGUGUUUGGGUUUUGGAAGGGAGGGAAAAAAAAAAAAAGAAGACCAACUCAAAAACUCUCUUUGUUGAAUAUUUUUUCUAGGGAUGAAAAGGAAAAGAAUCUACUCGCGAUCCAAGACAUUGACUGAUCACUGAUCAGUAACAUGCAAGAUCCUUCUUCCAAUGCUGGAGCAUGCAUAAUCAGUCCCGUAAUUCGUGAAUAUCAAUCUGAAUCUCCGUGGUGCUCGGCUCGAAGAUUUUCAGAAAACAAGUUUUCAGCGACUUUUUACUGAGCAGCUUUCCCACAUUUAUUGGUAGAAUAAGCAAAACAUAUGGAAAAGAUAUUUAGAAACCAAGUGAAAGUUGUUGGGUUAAUGGGGAAAAAAUGAAAAAAAAAAAAAGCAUUAUUGCAAGCAAAAGGCUCGAGGUCGAAGGAGCUGCUAGCACUACUGCAAUUCAAAGCAUACUAGUACAGAUCUCAGGGUACCAUCCUUGUCAGAUCAAUAACUCAAAAUUCAAGAAAAUAAAAGUUGAACUCAAAUCUUGUAUAUUUCACAUGGACGAUGACGGGAAAACACUAGUGUCGUGUGUACAUUAGUUUAUCAGAAUUUAGCAAGCCUUUCUUCUUAUCUGUUUUAAACCACCGGGAUAAAUUGAUGUUCUCCACUUUCCUUCAAGUUAUCUUUUCUUACUUUCAACGAUUGGAGUUUUAUGCUGUAGGGAGACUUUUGUCUAGUAAUUAACGUUGGGAGUUCGAAAAUUAGAGUCUUGAGCUCAAGCCCGUUUCUCCCUCUCCAAUUCUAAAAUCCCACGAUCCCCUACUUUAUAAAGCAAAAAAAAAAAAAAUAUUGGAGUCAUAUGCCACUAGCUUAUAUGUCAAGAUACAUCAUAGUCGUUGGCCAAAAGUGGCAGUGGCUAGCAGUACUUAUUUAAAAGAUUCAAAAGAAAAGGAAGGAUUUGUCAUUGGUCCUGCUUUUCUUGCAUGUGAGCGGCUAUGGGAUGGUCAUGUUCCGCUGCUUCCGCACAGGCUGAUUUCUUGAGCAGCAGGAGGUCACGGACAGACACCUGUUGACAAAUGAUAAACGAUCAUGAUCCCCUGCAAUCCAAAGCAAAGCAAAGCAAAAAAUAAAAAAGUGCACGUACGUUGAUUUUUCUGAAAAGUAAAAGAGCUUUUUUUUUUAGCGGUUUUGGUAGUUAAUAACCACCGAAUCUGGUGCCCACAUGGUAGGAGCAACUUUACCCCCCGCAAGCUCCUCUUUACUUUCACUAGCUCACUACUUCUGCAGCUAAAUAGGAGGGGGAAUUGAUCGAGUCUUCGACUGAUUAAUUAAACCGACCACUGGAUUGAGGUGGCAUUGCCUGAGCAAUGGUCUGCUCUUUUCUUUACUUUAUCAAGG
This 87463-nucleotide long non-coding RNA is filed under the name Coffea arabica (coffee). RNAcentral describes it as "long non-coding RNA (CARA_LNC006470)". Lineage: Eukaryota; Viridiplantae; Streptophyta; Magnoliopsida; Gentianales; Rubiaceae. The record is from RNAcentral.